CUGAACGUGGUUACUCUUUCACCACUACUGCUGAGCGGGAAAUUGUGAGGGACAUGAAGGAGAAGUUAGCCUAUAUUGCUCUUGACUAUGAACAAGAGCUAGAGACAUCGAAGACCAGCUCGUCCGUGGAGAAGAGUUACGAGCUACCUGAUGGACAGGUAAUCACUAUCGGAGCUGAGAGAUUCCGGUGCCCUGAAGUCCUCUUCCAGCCAUCCAUGAUUGGAAUGGAAGCUGCCGGUAUCCAUGAAACCACAUACAACUCUAUCAUGAAGUGUGAUGUUGAUAUUAGGAAGGAUCUGUAUGGAAAUAUUGUCCUCAGUGGAGGCUCCACUAUGUUCCCUGGAAUUGCUGACAGGAUGAGCAAAGAGAUUACAGCCUUGGCUCCAAGUAGCAUGAAGAUUAAGGUCGUAGCACCACCGGAGAGGAAAUACAGUGUCUGGAUUGGAGGCUCCAUUUUAGCAUCCCUCAGCACCUUCCAACAGGUAAUUUGUCGCGCGCGUGUGUGCGCGUCUUUUCAAUUGAAAACAGCUAAAACACCUCUUCUUUGUUCAUUUUCUUGUUUGUCAAAAUGCUAAUGUGACAAUUCAUUUGGGAGGUAACUUAACGUAUUCAUACUCAAAGCUAUUUCUAUUUCUGAGUGCAGAUGUGGAUUGCAAAGGCAGAGUACGAUGAGUCUGGCCCCUCAAUUGUUCACAGGAAAUGCUUCUAAUCGCGCAAACAAAGCAAGCGGGGAACAAAGAAUCUACACAACAGAUUUUGUAUUACAGAAAGGCUUCUUCUAUUCAAGCGGUUGCGGAAUUUCUUUUUGUAUUCAUUUUCGAAUUUCAUUCAUGUCGAUUUCUCUGUGUUUGUUAUGACGGGACAUGAGCAUGGAGGCGAGCAAAUUAUGAUUAAGAUUCAAUUUUUUCAUUACUAGUGCUUUGUUGUAGAGAAAUUAUGUAUUGUUACUGAUUUGGUUUGGUUGAAGUCAAAAAUCCCCUUCACAACUCUUUUCGUUGUUCUAUAUCUCUCAUCUUAUAGCUUUUCUCCUGAUAAAAAUCAAAUAAAUAUAUAUGUAAUCUGAAUAAUCUUUUCAUAUAUGUAAGUUGAACCAGUGUAUGUUGAAAACAACUAAAACUAAUGAAAGUACGAAUUCGUAUCCAAUCAAUCCGAAUAAAAUAAAGAAUACAUUUAAACUACUUGGGAGCUCUUCUCGGCUUCGAACAUGGAUUCAUUUAAACGGCGGUAGAUAAAAUGCGAAACCCAAGCCACCAACAUAAGAAGCGCGGUAGCAGCCCCACCGACCAUCACAAGAUUAAGAACCAGGAGCGGUCGUGUGAUUUUUGAGCUUGGUGACAUUGCUUUAGCAUUAGACGGAGAACCUGACGGCGAGGAUGGAGAAGGAGAGGGGCUUGGACUGACUACUGGAGCUUCUAUUUCGAGGGCAUUGAUCUUGAUUUUAAUCUUUUGGCCGGCUUUGCAGUGACCAGGUUCACCGCAAAUAACAUAGUAGGUGCCGGGUAUAUCAAAAGUUAAGGCGGUAAAGGUACCGUAAUGAGAUAGGGGAAGUGAUGGAAUACAAUAGUCAUAAUCUGCUUGAGUGACUAUCAUCACAAAAUCAUAUUCAUGUUUGUAAUUAAAUAUGAACUCGUCGCCCACAUAGAAUUUUUUCGAUGAGGCCCACUUGUUGUAAUCAACCGCGCCACUGUCAGUCCACCCUUCCAAAUCGCCGCCAACCGUAUAAACGGUAGCGGAGCAAGCACCAAAGAAAAUCAUCAUAAUGAUGAAACUCACGGCAACAGUGUUUCUUAGAUCCAUGACUAAAACAGUAAACAAUAAACAAGCAAUUAGGAGAGCAGAAAGCAAAGAGAAUGAAUGAAUGAAAUUUAGAUGAAAGGCAAUAAUGCGUGAGCAUGCAUAUAUAUAGAUAGAUAGAUAAAUAUAGUUAGUGUCCCAAACGGAAAAUGUUUCCCAAAUCCAGUUGGAAAACGGUUUAUAAAAUCAGACAAGUACUAGGAAUUCCAUUUAGGAAUAAUAUUGCCCAAGCUUAAUUAAUAAUCGAAUUCCAAUUUUCUGGCGUUUUGUCGGCUGCUUUUGCUUCCAACUUCUGCUUGCUUCCAUGUAUGAUGAAACAUUUUAUUUUAUUAUAAAAGGAUUUUUUUAUAUAGGCGCCUCAGUUUUGAAUUUUCUGGAUCAAACAUCCAUACCUUUUAGUGAUUUGAUUAAACUUUUUUUUAUCAUAAUUUUGGUACUAUAUGCACAUUAUAUCGUAACAAAUUUCCUAUAAUCUAGCCUUUUGAUUACACUCUCCUUCGUUAGAGAUAAUCGUAAAAAAAAAAAAAAAAAAAAAAGAAGGCUGGUUAGAUUCAAUUUAUUUUCACAAUAAUGCUACAAUUUAGCAAUAAUUAUCUACGAUUUAAGAUAUUUUCUUUCCAAAAUAGUUUAAAAUAUUUUUAAAUCCCACAAAAUCAAAUAUACUGAAAUAGUACGUUAAGAGAAAAUAGGAUUGGGAAUAAUAUAAAUGUACCAAUACACAAUGUGUACACAAUAAAAAUAAUGUACCAAUAUUAACAAUAUGUAUCAAAUCAAAUGUACCAAAAUUGCAAAUAAACGUACCAAUUAAUGACUUGUGUAAAUUCAAGCUUACCCAUAGAUAAUAUAUACGUAAUGUAUUGUACCUAAUAAUAAUUCGUUAACAACUAUACUUAAAAAAAACAGCAAAAAAAAUAUAAUUUCACAAAAAAAUUGAAAAAAUUACACGGAGCUUUUAUGUUGAUAACCAACUAUUUGAAAAUAAAAAAACCAUUUGGAAAAAGAAGUAAUAUUAAGGGGGGUGUAUUCAAUUGAGAAUGAGAGACAUUUUAAUGGAUUUAUAAAUCCAUGGAUUUUUAUGGAGUUUAAUUGAUUUGUAGAGAUUCCAUAUAAAAUUUUGAUUCAAUUCCCUCGAAAUCUCAUGGGAAUAGGUGAGAUUUGUGGAUACUUAAAAUACACUACGAAAUCUCUCAAAUUCCCUCUAAUUCCCCAACUUUCUCAAAUUCUUUAAAAUCAAUUUCUAAUUGAAUACACCUGGAAUGUUAUAAACUUCUUUAAAAUCUUAAUUGAAUACACCUGGAUUUUUAAGGAUUUUAAUAAACUAUUUUAAAAUUCUAAUUGAAUACACCUAGAAUUUCAGAGAAUCACUUAAAAUCCUUAUUGAAUACCCCUAGAUUCAUUAAAAGAAUUAAAAUCCCUUAAAAUCCCAAUUGAAUACACCCCCCUAAAUGUUUGCAUAACAAAAAAAUAAAAAUAAAAUUUGUGAUCGAAAAAACAUAUCUGGAAGAAGAGAAAAUAUAGUUUAAUUACUAAUAUCUCCAUUAAAUAAGGAAAAGUGCAUCAUACAGAUAAAAUGAUAAAUUCAAAAUUUAUUUUAAUUUUAAAAAUAUAAUAAUGACAUGUAAUUUAGCUUGAGGUAGCUAUUGGUCAAAGCACUUUAAUCAAAUUUUAAAAAGGCACAAAUAUUUAAUCUAAAUGAUAUAGAAAAACUGUAGGGGAUUCUAAUUUUCUCUAGGGUAAAUGACAAAAAACGACCUCAACUAUUGGUCUCACGACACUAUCAUACCUCAAUUUUUAAAAUUGACAAUGUCAUACCUCAUCUUUAGAAUUUGGUCCAAUGUUAUACCUUCCGUUACUUGGCCGUGAAUUUUUCAGUUAAAUGUUGAUGUGGCUUGAUUCGGGGCCCAUUUUCUAUUAAAAAAUUAAUAAAAUAUUAUUAAAAACUAAAAAAAAUUAUUUAAUAUAUUUGAAAAUAUUAAAAUAAUAAAGAAAAGUUAUAUAAAAAAUAAAAAACCCCUCUCUCUCUCUCAACAAAAAAAAAAUUUGAAAACCCAUCAACCCGUAACAACGCCCCCCCUGAAGAAGAAGAAGAAGGAAAAAAAAAAACCCAACCCCCUGCAACCCAUAAAGAAGAAGGAGGAAGAAGAAGACCCAAAAAGAAGAAGGAGGAAGAAGAAGAAGAAAAAAAAAACCCAAAUCAAACCCAGUUCGUUCCCCCCCCACCCACCCCUCCCAAAAAAAAACCCAACCCCCUUGCAACCCAGAAAGAAGAAGGAGGAGGAAGAGGAAGAAGAAGAAGAGAAAAAAAAAAACCCCAACCCCCUGCAAGCCAGAAAGAAUAAGGAGGAAGAAAAAGAAGAAGAAGAAAGAAAAAUAAAAAAACCCAAACCAACCCACACCCCCCCCCCUAAACAAAACAAACCCAACCCCCUGCAACCCAGAAAUAAGGAGGAAAAAAAAAAAACCCAAACCAAACCCAGUUCGACCCCCCCAACACACACACACAAACCCAACCCCCUGCCAACCCCAAAUCCACCACUCCCAUCCAUUCUCCACAUCCUCUUCCGCACCCAUCCUCCACCUUCUUUGUGCACCCAUCUUCCCAUCAUGAACCCGGCGAUGGCGAUGUAGACAGGAUCAAGGUUUCUUUUUAAUUUUUUUUUUUCUGGGUUGCAGGUGGUGGGUGCAAAUGGUUUAGGGAAGACGGGAGUGGGGAAGAAAGGGGUGGGUUGCAGGAAAUGGGGUCAGAUGGGUUUUUUUUUUCUUUCUGGGUUGCAGGUUGGGGGAAGAAGAUGAAGAUUGGGGGGGGGGGGGGAGGGGGAGGGACGAACUGAGGGUUUUUUUUUUUAUAUAACUUUUCUUUAUUUUUUUUAGUUUUUAAUAAUUUUUUAAUAGAAAAUGGGCCCCAAAUCAAGCCACGUCAGCAUUUAAUUGAAAAAUUCACGGCCAAGUAAUGGAAGGUAUAACAUUGGACCAAAUUCUAAAGAUGAGGUAUGCCAUUGUCAAUUUAAAAAAAAUGAGGUAUGAUAGUGUCGUGAGACCAAUAGUUGAGGUAAUUUUUUGUAAUUUACCCUUUUCUCUAUUAUAAAUCACAGUGAAGAAGUGAGAAUCAAACUCGGGCCUCUGGAUUGCAUGAUGCAAAUGUGGUGCAUAAAAAGAUUUCAAUUUCUCAUUACCAUAUGAGAAAAAGAAGAGGAAUUUAUCCAAUCUGUUUGUACUAAUUGUAGCAAAAGACUUAAUAACUUGUUCAAAUUUAUUAGACAAUAAUUUUUGUUGAAUAAACAAUAUUAUCUACAUUAAGGGAGUAGAGAAGUGGGCUAAGCCUCACAAUGGCUAAUAAUAAUGUGGUUCAAAUUCACUACCACAUUAAGGGAGUAGAGAAGUUGGGCCUGGCAAAGGCUUAACGUUCUUUUUAGGGUAAAAGACUGUUUACUACCCUCAUGUUUCGUGGUUUUCAACAUUUAGUACAUCAUGUUUUUUUCGUCUCAGAGUCAUACCUAAAGUGUAAAUUUUGGGACAGUCUCAUCAUCCGUUAGUCAAACUGUUAAGUUUUUCGUUAACUGUGACGUGGCGCACUGAGUGGGCGCCACGUGUCAUCCACGUUUUUUUUUUCUUUUUUCUUUCUUUUCUUUUCUUCUUCUUCCUCCGACUGCAACUUUCUGUUUUUUUUUUUUUUUUUUUUUUUUUUUUGCUUCUUCCUUUUCCUUCUUCUUCCUCCGAAAUCUGGGGAAUGUUUUUUUUAUUUUUUUUUCUUCCUUCCCCUUCUUCCUUCUUCCUUCCCCUUCUUCCUUCUUCUUCCUUCUCCUUCUUCUUCUUCUUCUUCUUCCUCCGAAAUCUGGGGAAGUUUGUUUUUUUUUUUUCUUUCUUUCUUCUUCUUCCUCAUUCUUCUUCUUCUUCUUCCUAAAAAAAAAAAAAAAACACUUUUAUCUUUUCUUCCUCUUCUUCUUCUUCUUCUUUCUCUUUCCUCCUUCCUUCUUCUUCUUCUUCCUCCGAAUCUGCCCAGAUUCAAUUUUUUUUUUCUUCCUCCUUCUUCUCCUUCUUCCUUCCCCUUCUUCGUUCUUCUUCUUCUUCCUCCGAAUUUGGGGGAAGUUGAAAGUGUUUUUUUUUUUUUUUUUUUUUUUGAGGAAGAAGAUGAAGAAGAAGAAGAAAGAAAAAAAAAAAAAAAAACAUUCCCCAAAUUUCGGAGGAAGAAGAAGGAAGAAGAAGGAAGAAGGGGAAGAAAGGGAAAGGAAGGAGGAAGGAAGGAAGAAGCAAAAAAAAAAAAAAAAAAAAAGCAGAAAGUUGCAGUCGGAGGAAGAAGAAGAAAAGAAAAGAAAGAAAAAAGAAAAAAAAAAAACGUGUAUGACACGUGGCGCCCACUCAGUGCGCCACGUCACAGUUAACGAAAAACUUAACAGUUUGACUAACGGAUGUAUGAGACUGUCCCAAAAUUUACACUUUAGGUAUGACUCUGAGACGAAAAAAAUUGAUGUACUAAAUGUUGAAAACCACGAAACAUUAGGGUAGUAAACAGUCUUUUACCCUUCUUUUUAACUCAUACUUGCUAUUUUGGGUAUUUAUUUUAGUAGAAAUAAACUGUGGUUGACCCAAAAUUCAAAAGUACUUUUGAUGUGGCAGGUUUGGGUAGUGAGCUCACCAUCGUUCGCAUAAACAAAACAAAAGUUUACUCAGCCAAGUUUCUCAAAGAAAAAUGCUUCAAGAUCUGUAAAUUCGAGAGGAUCAAAGCUCAAGUAUCCAAGAUAGGGCUCAUCUUUUGACGAACGUCACAUCUCCAACUUGGAUGAAAAAGAAUGAACCGAGUUAGGAAAUCUUAAUUCUAGAAGAAGAAAACUUCUAUAAGAGGCAACAGAAGGAUUAGAGAAAGGGACACCGAUCAACUCAAGCCAAAAAGACUUCUAAAAGCUCUACAACUUACUUUUCAAUUAUUCCUUUUUUAUCUCAAACAUUCAUUUGUAUCUAUACCUCUACUACUUCCCUUUUGUAAGAUCGAUUCCCUUUGUAGAACCCCUUCAAUAGCACAUUGCCCGCAUAGCACGAACUUGCCCGACAAGCUUGGAAACUUGCCUGAAUAUGUUGAAAACUUGCCCGAUGGCUUGUAUUUGUCAUUUAUUUUCAUGUUAUUGUCAUUAUGCUUUGUUCAUUACACAUGUUAUAAAUGUUUCUUGAACAUUUGCUAGUAUAUUCCUUUGUUUAUGUAUUGUGCUUUAUUUUUUUGCAUCUUCCCUUUACCCAAAGAUUGCUGAUUGGUUCAAAGUCUCCUUUGAUCAGUUUGUGAUCCUUGUUCUUUGGUAUUUAACAUGAGAAAAUUAUAAAGUCCUUGUCUUCAAGGCAUAGAAAAGAAGGCCGGUUUCUUGCGGUGCAAGUAAAUGGCUUAUUAACAAUUUAAAACAAAUAACAUAUUGGUCUUGGCCAACUGGCACGCUGGACAAAAUCACUAUUUUUACAAAAGAGCCUAUGAACCUACUCCAGGCUUGACUAUUGGCUAAAGCACCUCGUGCUAACAAGAGUUCACCACUCACUUUCAGAGGGAGCUUGUGUGAGAAUCCUUCAUCCUUACAGUCUGUAUCCUUAAUUCCAUUUGGUCAACAGUUUAUUUAAUCCAAAGUUCCUAGCCCUUAUUUUUCACUUGCUUGGCAUCAACUAUAAAAACGGAUAUUUAACCGAUUGUAAUAGUCAACCCCCUGUUAUUAUCGACGUCCCAUGACAUUUUAUCCACACCAACAUUAAAAAGCUGUCUGAUUCCCAUUUUCUUCGUACUUGGAAACAAAACAUUGGUUCUUAAUUUCUGUUCUUUCCUAACUUCUUGUAAUUACUCCAAGUCCACACCAAUGGCUCUAUCUAGGCUUCCUCCAAAAGAGAGGCCAGGUCAAAGUUAAGAUAUUGUCCAGUCUUGUCAAGUUGGUGGUGAGAGUAGCUUCGAAAGUCGGGAGAGGGUUGAGCCGCCGUAGAAAGGUGGCGACACAGGUUGUGCAGGGUGCAGCCGGAUAGCGAUCAAAUUAAUCACGUAUAGUUCAUACCAGCAUUGAUGUGUUUAGCCUCAUAAUGUUGGGAUGAGGAUCAGGAGAUGUCCAACAAUUCCCCAUAAUUCAAUUUUGUCAACUAUAAAAAGAUUGGUAUAAUUUUGCAAAGGUGGGAAGACAAAAGGAGAAAUCUUGAAAGAGGAGAAUGGAACUAGUGGAAUUUAUGUGGUUGGUUGGCAUUUUAUAUAGUUGGAGUUUUGGAGUUGCUUCAUUUUCUAAAUUAUCAACCAGACUUAGUUUGGAUUAUAUAAAAAAAAUUAAAACUUUAAUCUUCAUAUCUAACUCUAAAAUAGUCACUUAGUACUAUGGCCUAGUGGUAUUUCUUUUCACUUGUAAGUGAGAGGUCUUAGGUUUGAUUCUCACCAAAGGCAAGUUUGAAUCAUAUUAUUGCUAGCCAUUAUGAGUAUAAGCUAACCCCCUCCCCCUUAGUGUAGAAAAUAUCAUUUGUAAAAAAAUUUAAAAAAAAAAAAAAAAAACUCCAAAACAUAAGGAUUAAUUCAUUUUAUUUUUAACUGUAUGUAGUUGUAUGUGUUUAUAUAUCAUAAUUAACCUCAUACUUGUGAUUUUGGGUAUUUAUUUUAGCAUAUAUGAAUAGUGGUUGGCCCAUGAUUCAAGAGUACUUUAGACAUGGCAUGUUUGGGCGGUAAGCUCACCAACAUUCAUAAAGAAAGCUUACUCAGCCGAGUUUCUCAAAGAAAUGUGCUAUACUGUGGUAUGAUUUGUAAAUUCGGGAGGAUCAAAGCUCGAGUAUCCAAGUGGGAGCUCAUCCUCUGACAAACGUCACAUCACCAACUUGGAUGAAAGAGAAUGAACUGAGUUAGGAAAGCUUAAUUCUGGAAGAAGAAAACUUCUAUAAAAGACAAUAGAAGGAUUAGAGAAAGGGACAUUGAUCAACUCAAGCCACAAAGACUUCUAAAAGCUCUGUAGCCAACAUUUCAAUUAUUCCUUUUGUAUCUCAAACGUUACUUUGUAUCUAUAGCUUUGGUACUUCCCUUUUGUAGUAUCGAUUCCUUUGUAGAACCCCUUCAAUAAUACAUGGUUCGCAACUGCACGAACUUGCCCAACAUGCUUGGAAACUUGCCCGAAUAGGUUGAAAACUUGCUUGAUGGCUUGUAUUUGUCAAUUAGUUUCUUGUUAUUGUCAUUAUGCUUUGUUUAUUACUCAUGUUAUUAAUGUUUCUUAAACAUUUGCUAGUAUAUAUUCCCUUGUUUAUGUACUGUGCUUUAUUUUUCUGCACCUUUCUUUACUCAAAGAUUGCUGAUUGGUUCAAAGUCUCCUUUGAUCAGUUUGUGAUCCUUGUUCUUUGGUAUUUAACACAAUAAAAUUAUAAAGUCCUUGUCUUUAAGGUAUAGAAAAGAACCAAAGUAUAGAUUUAACCCCUCCAGAAUAACAAUACUUUGAGAGAAGGUCAGUUUCUUGUGGCGCAAGCAAAUGGCUUAUUAACAACUUAAAAACAAACAGCUAUUGGUCUUGGCCAGCAGUGGCAUGCCUGGAAAAAAUCACCAUUUUUACAAGAGAGACUACUCAAGAUUGACUAAGACACAUUGUGCUAACAAGAGUUCACCACUCCAUCCAAACCGUCUGUAUCCUUACAUUUGGUCAACUCUUUUUUAAUCCAAAGUUCCAAACCCUUAUUUUUCACUUGCUUGGCAUCAACUGUAACAACGGAUAUUUGACCGAUUGUAAGAGUCAACCAUCUGUUAUCGUCGACGUCCUAUGACAUUUUAUACUCCCACACCAACAUUAAAAAGCUGUCUCAUUCCCAUUUUCUUUGUACUUGGAAACAAAACAUUGGUUCUUAAUUUCUGUUCUUACCUAACUGCUUGUGUUACUCCAGUCCACACCAAUGGCUUUAUCUAGGCCUCCUCCAAAGAGAGGCCAGGUCAAAGUUAAGAUAGUGUCCAGCCUUGUCAAAUUGGCAGUGAGAGUAGCUUCGAAAGUCGGGAGAGGGUUGAGCUGCCGUAGUAAGGUGGCGACACAGGUUGUGCAGCCGGAUAGCCAUCAAAUUAAUCGCGUGUAGUUCAUACGAGCAUUGAUGUCUUUAGCUACGCUGCAUAUGUUAUAGUAGCGUACUGCAGUACUAUUUGUAUUAGUAGAGCACAUGCAUGCUCUAAAAAAUGCAUGAGAAAGGUUGUAAUACGGUGUGCUUUUGGUUUUAUGUAUUGAUCCUACCAUAAGUUCAUAAUAAAAACUUUUUUUUUGUUCUUACUCUUUAUAUUCUUAUGGAGGAUGGAGAGUCCUAUUCUUGUAGACGACGUACUCUUUGUUGUUCGGAUUGGCUUUUAGAGUACAACGGUGUUUCACGAACAUGAAUUUCGAGCUAUCUGUUAUCUGGGUUCCAAAUUCAACCGUGCUUUUUGGAAUGAUCUAAGUAUGCAACAGAUAUAUCUAAUGUAUCUGUUUCAGUUUAUCAAAAUGUGGAUGCAACCUUAACGGGAUGACUCGUUGAAGAAUGUAAAGUCUCACAUCGGAAAUCUUACAAAAUAAAAUACAAUUUAUGCUGACUGGUUCCGCUACUAAUGAAGUGGAGACAUUUCGUAUAAACUCCACACCCUGUUUACUUAAUUUUACCUGAGUUUUUCUUUGUCAUUUAUUCGUUUUAUAUUUUCACAAGAAGUUUCUGCAAUUUUAAGUACAGUUGUAAACUGAGCAAAUAUAUGGGUAACAAGGUUGAUCCAGUCGUGCAAAUUUGAAGCCCUUUUUUAUCCUAGACAGUAUCUAUGACCAUAAAGUUUUAUCCUAGACAGUAUCUAUGACCAAGAACGACAAUUCUUUGCAGUUGAAGCCGAUAAACCGUUCAUUUUAUCAGAAGGGUUAAAAACUCAAAUAUUUUUUUUUGUUAUCAUGAAGUGUGGUGUUGAUAUUAGGGAGCAUCUGUAUGGAAAUAUUGUCUUCAGUGGAGGCUCCACUAUGUUCCCUGGAAUUGCUGAUAGGAUGACCAAAGAGAUUACAGCCUUGGUUCCAAGUAGCACCAACAGAUUUUGUAUUACAGAAAGGCUUCUUGUACUUCUCUGUAUUAUGACGGGACAUUAGCAUGGAGGCGAGCAAAUUAUGAUUAAGAUUCAAUUUUUUCGUUACUAGUUCUUUGUUACUGAUUUGGUUUGGUUGAAUAUGCCUCAUCUUAUAGCUUAUCUCGUAAUAAAAAACAAAUCGAUAUAUAUAUAUAUAUAUAUAUAUAUAUAUAUAUAUAUAUAAUCUUUUCAUAUAUGUAAGUUGAACCACAGUGUAAUUUGAAAACAACUAAAACUAAUGAAAGUACAAAUUCUACAUUCAAUCCGAAUAAAAUAAAGAAUACAUUUAAACAACUUGGCAACUCUUUUCGGCUUGGAACGUGGAUUCAUGUAAACGGCGGUAGAUAAAAUGCGAAACCCAAACCACCAACAUAAGAACCGCUGUAGCAGCUGCACCGACCAUCACAAGAUUAAGAACCGGGAGCGGUCGUGUGAUUUUUGAGCUUGGUGACAUUGCUUGAGCAUUAGAAGGAGAACCUGGUGGUGAGGAUGGAGAAGGAGAGGGGCUUGGACUAACUACUGGAUCUUCUAUUUCGAGGGCAUUGAUCUUGAUUUUAAUCUUUUGGCCGGCUUUGCAGUGACCAGGUUCACCGCAAAUAACAUAGUAGGUGCCGGGUAUAUCAAAAGUUAAGGCGGUAAAGGUACCGUAAUGAGAUAGAGGAAGUGAUGGAAUGCAAUAGUUAUAAUCUGCUUGAGUGACUAUCAUCACAAAAUCAUAUUCAUGUUUGUAAUUAAAUAUGAACUCGUCGCCCACAUAAAAUUCUUUCGAUGAAGCCCACUCGUUGUAAUCAACCGCGCCACUGUCAGUCCACCCUUACAAAUCGUCACCAACCGUAUAAAUGGUAGCAGAACAAACACCAAAGAAAAUCAUCAUGAUGAUGAAACUCACGGCAACAGUGUUUCUAGAGCCAUGACUAAAACAGUAAACGAUAAACAAGCAAUUAGGAAAGCAGAAAGCAAAGAGAAUGAAUGAAUGAAAUUUAGAUAAAAGGCAAUAAUGCGUGAGCAUGCGUAUAUAUACAUAGAUAGAUAGAUAUAGUUAGUGUCCCAAAUGGAAAAUGUUUCCCAAAUCCAGUUGGAAAACGGUCUAUAAAAUCAGACGAGUAGUAGGAAUUCUAUUUAGGAAUAAUAUUGCCUAAGCUUAAUUAAUAAUCGAAUUCCAAUUUUCUCCCGUUUUGUCGGCUGGUUUUGCUUCCAACUUCUGCUUGUUUCCAUGUAUGAUGAAACAUUUUAUUAUAUAAAUCACAAUGAAGAAGUGAGAAUCGAACUUGGGCAUUUGGGUUGCAUGAUGCAAAUUUAGUGCAUAAAAAGAUUCAAAUUUCUCAUUAGCAUUUGAGAAAAAGAAGAGGAAUUUAUCCAACCUGUUUGUACUAAUUGUAGAAAAAGACUUAAUAACUUGUUCAAAUUUAUUAGACAAUAUUUUUGUUUUUUUGAAAAAACGAUAUUAUCUACAUUAAGGGGGUGUGGAAGUGGGCUAAGCCUUACAAUAUGCUAGCAAUAAUGUGGUUCAAACUCACUACCACUCCCAAUACCUAGUCUAUACGCCCAGUGAGCACUUCAGUAUUUGCCCACAAUAUAAAUAGGCAUGUAGAAAACGGGAGUGAGACGUAGGCGCUUUCAUUAGGGUUUUUUUUUUUUUUGGUUUUGUUUUCUUCUCUUGUCCUUAUUAUUAAAUAUAGUUAUUAGAUGAGUUUUAGUUGAAAUUCAAAAUUUUGAAGUCAUUUUCAUUAGUUUUUAUGUUAUUUUUUAACUGUAUGUAACUGUUUGUGUUUGAGCCAUAAUUAAACAAGUUGGGCCUGGCGAGGGUCCAACGUCCUUUUUAACUCAUACUUCUUAUUUUGGGUAUUUAGUUUAGCAAAAGUGAACAAUGGCUGACCCAAGAUUCAACAGUACCUUUUGACGUGGCAUGUUUGGGCGGCAAGCUCACCCUCGUUCACAUAGAAAAAAAGUUAAGAGUCAAGUUUCUCAGAGAAAAGUGCUUCAAGAUCUGUAAAUUCGAGAGGAUCAAAGCUCGAGUAUCCAAGUAAUGGCUCAUCCUUUGAAGAACUUCACAUCUCCAACUUGGAUGAAAGAGAAUGAACCGAGUUAGGAAAUCUUAAUUCUAAAAGAAGAAAGCUUCUAUAAAGGGCAGCAGAAGGAUUAGAGAAAAAGACAUUGAUCAACUCAAGCCAAAAUGACUUCUAAAAGCUCUGCAGCUUACUUUUCAAUUAUUCCUUUUUUAUCUCAAACAUUCAUUUGUAUCUAUACCUCUACUACUUUCCUUUUGUAGUAUCGAUUCCCUUUGUAGAACCCCUUCAAUAGCACAUUACCCGCAUUACACGAACUUGCCCGACAGGCUUGGAAACUUGCCCAAAUGGGUUGAAAACUUGCCCGAUGGCUUGUAUUUAUCAUUUAUUUUCAUGUUAUUGUCAUUAUGCUUUGUUUAUUACUCAUGUUAUAAAUGUUUCUUGAACAUUUACUAGUAUAUUCCUUUGUUUAUGUAUUGUGCUUUAUUUUUCUGCAUCUUCCCUUUACUCAAAGAUUGCUGACUGGUUCAAAGUCUCCUCUGAUCAGUUUGUGAUCCUUGUUCUUUGGUAUUUAACAUGAGAAAAUAAUAAAGUCCUUAUUUUCAAGGCAUACAAAAGAAGGCCAGUCUCUUGUGGCACGAGCAAAUGGCUUAUUAACAAUCUAAAACAAACAACUUAUUGGUCUUGGCCAGCAAUGGCACGACUGGGUAAAAUCACUAUUUUUACAAAAGAACCUAUGAGCCUACUCAAGGCUUGACUAAGGCACCUUGGGUUAACAAGAGUUCACCACUUGCAUUCUGGGGGAGGUUGUGUGAUAAUCCUGCAUCCUUAAUUCCGUUUUGGUCAACAGUUUUUUAAUCCGAAGUUCCAAAUCCUUAUUUUUCACUUGCUUGGCAUCAACUGUAACAAUGGAUAUUUAACCGAUUGUAAGAGUCAACCCCCUGUUAUUAUCGACGUCCUAUGACAUUUUAUACUCUGCUCCCACACCAACAUUAAAAAGCUGUCUCAUUCCCAUUUUCUUCGUACUUGGAAGCAAAACAUUGGUUCUUAAUUUCUGUUCUUACCUAACUUCUUGUGUUACUCCAAGUCCACGCGAAUGGCUCUAUCUAGACUUCCUCCAAAAGAGAAGCCAGGUCAAAGUUAAGAUGGUGUCCAGUCUUGUCAAGUUGGUGGUGAGAGUAGCUUCGAAAGUAGGGAGAGGGUUGAGCCGCCGUAUUAAGGUGACGAUACAGGUUGUGUAGCCGGAUAGCAAUCAAAUUAAUCACGUACAGUUCAUACGAGCGUUGAUGUUUUUAGCCUCAUAAUGUUAUAGAAGUGUACUGCAGUACUAUGGGUGUGUUUGUUUACCUUCAUUAAGUUUCAUUAGACUAGACUACACUAAAACUUAGUGAAAUCUUUUGUUUGUUGUCAGAAGGGAUUAGGUUUAAUGAGAUUAGCUUUCACUUGCACGGACUACAUGCCUCGCUAGCUGGCCUUAGCGAGUCCUCUCGAAACCUAUGGGAUUGCUAAGACUGUGCUCUCUCUCGUCCUUAUGCGCUCGCCUCCUCUCUCUUGGCGUCAUCUGAUCGACUCCUCUAUCACAUCCGCUUUUGCUUGACCCCUCUGGUGUCAGCCACCACUCUCCGCCGUGUUGUCGUCUGAUUGACUCCUUUCUUGCGUCCUUAUCUGCUUGACCCCUUCGGCCUCAGCCACCACUCCCCGCCGUGUCGGCUGAUCGACUCCUCUCGCGUGCUCAUCCUGCUCGACGACCUUGCCAGACCAUCCCACCGACCACUGAAACUCAAGUCACAGUCUUGCAGAUAAUUGUUGAUGUUUACGAAAUCAUAGAUUUUGUAUUUCACAGAUGUGAAAGUCCCCAAUUUUUUAUUCUCUUGCCGCUUGAUUUCGGUUUUGCUCUUUGGUACUUGCUCUAACCCUCACAAGAUUUACAAUUUCUGCUAUUGGUGAUUGGAAUUUGUGCUGUUGUCUUGGAAAUCGGUUUUUUUUUUUUGAACCAAUUUAUCUGUGAAUUUGGUGUUAUGAUUUGUGUAAAUUGCUGCUAUUGUGUUGUGGGCGUUUAGCAAUUUCUGCAAUUUUUUUUAGCAAAAUGGGUAUAUUUCGGUUUCCAAUUUUUGCAAUUUCAUUUACGAUUACUGUUAGCUUGACAUUUCUUCACAUCAUCCAGUUUGCUUCUGUUUUGUAUCCAAUUCAUUAUUCGGAUAUGUUUAUGAGACCAAAAUUCGGAUUAUUUUUUUCAUUAUCCUGUCUCUUAGUCCGACACUGCACCAAACGCUUUACUAAUUUAGUCCAGCAGUCUAAUUUAAGCUAGUACAGCUUAGUCGCUAAAGCUAGUCCAGUCCGAGAUAGUCCGGUACAACAAAAUAUGUAUUAGUAGAGCACAUGCAGGCACUUAAAAAUGCAUGAGAAAGUUUGUAAUACGGUGUGCUUUUGGUUUUAUGUAUUGAUCCUACCAUAAGGUCAUAACCAAAAGUUCGUUUUCUUCUCACUCUUUAUAUUCUUAUGGAGGAUGGAGAGUCCUACUCUUGUGGGCGAUGAACUCUUUGUUGUUCUGCAUGGCUUUUAGAGUACAACGGUAUUUCACGAAUAUGAAUUUCGAGCUAUCUGUUAUCCGGGUUCCAAAUUCAACCGUUCUUUUUGGAAUCAUUCAAGUAUGCAACAGAUAUACCUAAUGUAUCUGUUUCAGUUUAUCAAACUGUGGAUAUAGUCUUAAGGGGAUGACUCGUUGAAGAAUGUAUAGUCUCGCGACGGAAAUCUUACAAAAUAAAAUACAAUUUAUGCUUUCGACCAACGAAACAAAAAACAAUUUAUGCUGAGUACUGGUUCCUCUACUAAUUGAGUGGAGACAUUACGUAUAAAACUCCACACCCUGUUUACAUAUUUUUACCUGAGUUUUUCUUUGUCAUUUAUUCGUUUUUUAUUUUCACAAGUUUCUGCAAUUUUAAGUACAGUUGUAAACUGAGCAAAUAUAUGGGCAACAAGGUUGAUCGAGUCGUGCAAAUUUGAAGCCCUUUUUAUUUUAUUUUAUUUAUUUAUUUAUCCUAGACAGUAUCUGUGACCACAAAGAAUGACAAUUCUUUGCAGUUGAAGCCGACAGACCGUUCAUUUUAUCAGAAGGGUUAAAAACUCAAAUAUUUUUUCUGUUAUCAAGAAGUGUGGUGUUGAUAUUAGGAAGAAUCUGUAUGGAAAUAUUGUCCUCAGUGGAGGCUGCACUGUGUUAUGAUGGGACAUGGGCAUGGAGGCAAGCAAAUUAUGAUUAAUAUUUAUUUUUUUCGUUACUGAUUUGGUUUGGUUGAAAUAAAAAAAGAAAAACUAAUGAAAAGGACUUGAAAACUUUGAGUUUUAACGAUAAUGACAAAAUAAAGGGUAAAAUGAAUAGUAACAUAUUUGACUUUUUAGUGAAAAAAAUGUGGUUUUUCGUUAAAGUGAACAGUACCGGGAGUUUUUCGUUAAAGUUCCCAAUAAAAAAUCAUUUUCACUACUCUUUUUGUUGUUGUAUAUGCCUCAUCUUAUAGCUUAUCUCAUAAUAAAAAUCAAAUCGAUAUAUAUAUACAUAUAUAUAUAUAUAUAUAUAUAUAUAUAUAUAUAUAUAUGUAUUCUGAAUAAUCUUUUCAUAUAUGUAAGUAGAAACAUAGUGUGUAUUAAAAACACAAGUAAAACUAAUGAAAGUACAAAUUCAUUUACAAUCAAUCCGAAUUAAAUAAAGAAUACAUUUUGUUGAUGCACAAAAUCCGGCAGAAUGCACAAAAUCCGGCGGAUCUUGGACCAACGUAAAUCCGACCGUGAAUUAUUCAAAUUUACAAGAACACAAAUAUAUAUCGUGGUUCACCUCAAGUUGGGCUACGUCCAUACUGAUGUCGAUAAGUGUUGAUGAAGGUUACAGUAUGCAUGGAGGCUAUACAGGCUUAGUAUUUGCUCUUUGUAUUAUUCUUUGCCUCUCUGUCUGUUUCCUCUUUGUUUCCCCCCUUAGUGAAGGUGAGGAGAAUCCCUUUUAUAGAAUAAGGGUUUCCUCCUCUUACAUAAAUCAUGGGCUCAUUCCUGAAGCCCAAAUAUCGAGGCCUAAUAUCUGGUACAACAGGAGUCCCCCAAGUCUUCAGUCAAGAGAGUCCUUUGGCUGGAGACUUCAAAUUCAAUCCAUGUGUGGGCCGAAGUGACUAGAUGUCGUUCAGAACUAGUACUCGACAUGAGACGGUGCUUAACGUGAAGCAAUACUCAACCAGAGGUAGCACACGUUGCGAGGCUGCUCGGCUAAAGGCGAUGCUCGCGACGAGACGGUUGCUCGGCUGGAGGCGGUGCUCGUUGCGAGGCGGCUCGGCUUUUGGCGUUCUUCUCUGUGAGUAUGCAUUCGACGUCAGCGUGUGCUCAUUAUGAGUUGAUUCUUGACAUGACUCGGGUUUGCUUGUCGGGUUCGCAUAUUGGGUCUAUGUGUCGGGUUCGCGGAUUGGGUCCACAAGUUGGAUCUUUGAGUCGGGGCCAUAUGUAGGGUUAUCGAGUCGGGGCCAUUUGUAAGGUCAUCGAGUUGGGUCCAUAAGUUGGGUCCGUGAGUUGAGGUUCGAGCUCAAGGGUGUCCAAUUUCGUAGGUGCCCAAACGAGUGGUUAUCUAAGUUUGUGGGUGUUCAGGCACAUAUGUGUCCAAAUAAGCGAGUGUCCGAGCAAGUGGGUGUCUAGUUAGACAAGAGAUCACCGUUCAGACUAAAUCUUUGUCACCAUAAGCAUGUGGCUCGGUGAUCCAUAGGCUGAUCCAUAGUGUUGACCACCAUAAUUUGGGUCCUUGGUUAAUCAAUUAAUUGUAUGAGUAUCGUAUACAAGUAAUCAAUCAUUAAAGUGUGCAUAUUGCGGGUAAUGUCACACAUAGAUCAUAUAAACAUACAAUAAUGUAGUAUGCCUAGUGAAAUGUGUAUGUGACAAUAUAAUUUAAUGAAAUAGGAGGUGGCCGACAAUAUCAAAGGGUAAUAAUACUAAAGUUAUGAUAGGAAUGAUUAUGGUUUGUGAUGUGACCCGGCAUAAUAAACACACAUCAGUAGUCAUGUAGCUUUAAUAUAAUGACAAUGGGGACGCAUUAUAUAUAUAUAUAUAUAUAUAUUUUGUCAGGUGCCGACUGUAUACACACAGAUCAUGAAAAUAAAUAAUAUAUUCCUAACUGUGCACUAAAAUAUAAGUGUGAUAGAAAUGACGUGGUCUCUUUUUAAAGAAUAUGCACACUAUAAAGCAAACUACUGGUGGCAUAUGCACACUGUAAAGCAAACCAAACCAACAGGGACGCACUAUUAAGUGUGAUAGAAAUGAUGUGGUCUCAUUUUAAAGAAUAUGCAUAUUGUAAAGCAGAUGUUGCAAUAACAAGACUAACACAGAAUAAUAAUAAAAUAUUAAAUAAACAGUAAUAAUAUUAAACAAAUCAUUUGGAAAAAGAUAAAGUUCUUAUCUUCUUCCAUGUUGGUGGUCGACACCCUCCUUGACGAGUUUUUUCAGCACUGACACUUUCAGUGGGUUUCCCCGGCAAGGUAGCCAGCGCCAGAGGCAUUCGGGUAGAGUGGUGAUGACCGUUCGAGUCCCCCGAUUUCAUUGGUAGUGGUGGCAAGGUUGUGAUACCAUCAGAACAGACGGUCGGAGAUCUGGUCGUGGAGACCAUGCGCCUCGCCGUCUGACCUUGCCUUCCGUCGAGUUGUCAAUGCUCGACCUUCAAAGGUGAGGAUUUGAGCAGCGCCGCUUGACUUCAUGAGCGAGAGAGAGAGAGACGCAUGAGUGCUGCGAGAAUAGUGAAUAGCAGUAGAAAUGAGAAGCUUCUGCUGGUGGUAGAGAGACCGGCUGUCGUAGCAGGAUUGGCGCAGUGUUUGAAAAUGGACUCAACUAUAGUGGUGACCUCAUCUUCCCUAAUGGGUCGGAGAGCCUUGAUCCUCUUGGGAGAGAAGAGCUUCAGAGUGCAGACCUUCCUGACCUUGACGUAGUGGGGUUCAUAGUUAGCCCAGAUAAGAUCCUGACCAUCAUUGCUAAACUUCGCGGCCGAUCUGCUCCGAUGCCGGUCCACCAGCUUCUGGUCAUGCUCCUUAAGCACCUCAUUGGCCAGCUUCGAGCUCGACACCACCACGUUCAACAUGGACCCCGUCCACACCAAUACGAUGAGGUCGUAUUCCUGGGCCUACUCGGCGUAGCAGCGGAACCUCAUGGGCUUAAUGUUGUAGAGGUUGCUGACAAUCGACCAUGCACGUGGGCCGGGCGGGAGCUUGAAUCUGAGCCUUUGGUAGAACUUGUAGGCAAGGGAAAUGAGAAUGAUGAUUGAUGAGAUGGGAAGUAGGAGUCCGCCGGAGAGAGCCAUGUUGGAUUGAUUGAGCCAAUUAAGGUAAGCGUGGGAAGGAUAUUGAUAUAUAUGAAAGACCCUUGGGAUGAAGUUGGUGAAUGGAUUUAUAUUGGGGAGAGAAAGAGAGAGAGAGAGUUGGUCACUAUGUAGGUGUUUAGUUCUUAGGUUUAUAAAGAUUCACAGUAGAGUAUGGUGAGGUUGUGAGGGUUUCAUGGUGGUGAGAUGAAAAAAAUGAAAGAGAACCGAUAUAGUUUUUCGUGUCGUUUCCCACAGAGGGCGCCAAAUGUUGAUGCACAAAAUCUGGCAGAUCUUGGAACAAUGUAAAAUCUGACCGUGAAUCAUACAAACGCAUACGAACACAAAGAUAUAUCGUGGUUCACCUCAAGUUGGGCUACGUCCACACUGAUGUCGAUAAGUGUUGAUGAAGGUUACAAUAUGCAUGGAGGCUAUAGAGGCUUAGUAUUUGCUCUCUGUAUUAUUCUCUGCCUCUCUGUCUGUUUCCUUUUUGUUUCCCUCUUAGUGAAGGUGAGGAGGAUCCCUUUUAUAGAAUAAGGGUUUCCUCCUCUUACAUAAAUCAUGGGCUCAGUCCUGAAGCCAAAAUAUCGAGGCCCAAUAUCUGGUUCAACACAUUUAAACUACUUAGGAGCUUUUUUCGGCUUAGAAUAUGGAUUCAUUUAAAUGGCGGUAGAUAAAAUGCGAAACCCAAACCACCAACCUAAGAAAUGCGGCAGCAGCCGCACCGACCAUCAAAAGAUUAAUAACCGGGAGCGGUCGUGUGAUUUUUGAUAUUGGUGACAUUGCUUUCAAAGGAGAACUGGAUGGUGACGAUGGAGGAGAGAGGCUUGGACUCACGACUUAAUCUUCUAUUUCAGGGGCAUUGAUCUUGAUUUUAAUCUUUUGGCCUGCUUUGUAAUGACCAGGUUCACCGCAAAUAACGUAGUAGGUGUCGGGUAUAUCAAACGUUAAGGCGGUAAAGGUACCGUAAUGAGAGGGGAAAUGGUGGCAGAAGAUCAGGCUUUAAGCCAAGAGGCUACAAGCUUUUCAAACACUUCGUCUCCCAGUAUAAUUCAUGGUGAGAUCAAUCCAAAUUUGCGUCUGUGCUCCGUGUUGCUAAACGAGUUCAAUUACCUACCGUGGUCACAUGCCAUUUCUCUUGCCUUAGGUGGAAGAUCGAAGCUAGGGUAUGUCAAUAGAAGCAUUGAAGCACCUCAACCAACCUCUACAUCGUAUGGUGCAUGGCAUGCAAAUGAUUAACUUGUUAUGUCUUGGAUACUUAAUUCCAUGGAACCUAAGUUAUCUGAGCUCUUCAGCUACUCAAAGUCCUCUCGUAUUUUGUGGGAAUCUAUCAAAGAGAUGUAUGACAGCCAAAAUAAUGCUGUUUGUAUAUUUCAACUGAAGAAGGACCUUGCUGGGCUAAGGCAAGGUGACCAAUCCUUCGUGCAACAUCUUGGAAGUAUGAAGUCCAUGUGGAAUGAACUCGACAUGUACCGACCACAUACAAUCGAUUCCGCUGCGCUCCUUAAAAGAGCUUAUAAAGACAAAGUGUUUCAACUCCUGGCAAGUCUAGGAGCUGAAUAUGAAGACCUUUGAAGUCAUUUAUUGAUGACCCCCAAUCUGCCCUCAUUUAAUAGUGUUUGUUAAGCUAUUCAAAGGGAGGAAACUUGAUGAAAAGUCAUGCACAUUGAGCCUAAGUCUAACUUUGAGGCUAGGGUUUUCAUUGGCAAUCAUAAACACACAGGUGAAAAAAUUUUCCUGGAAAGAAGGCAAAUUGGAAAUGUACUUACUACAACAUGAAAAGGCAUUUAAGGGAAAAAUGUUGGAUCAUGCACCCAGAGUUAAAACCAAGGUUUGAUAAAGAAGGAAGAAUGAUUAAAGAAGGGAAAGGAACCACUCCAAAGGCUCUCCAUUCAACUAGUUCUUUGAUUGGUGGAAUUGCAAACUUCACUGCAAAUCCAAUAGAUUUGAUAAAUGAAUUUGCUAGUUUUCUUCAAAGAAGAGGAGGCACCACUGAAGAUAAGGAAGUGACCACUAAGAACCCUACUGCCAUGCUAGGAAAAUUCGUAGGUUUCUUGACUGAGACCACAACUCAAGGUAAUGUUUCAGGUAUUAUCACUGCCCUCUCCAAUGUACUCAAUGAAAUUACACAUGAUUGUUGGAUUAUAGACUCAGGUGCCACUGAUCAUAUAACAAACAAGUCUUCUUGCUUAGAUAAGUUUCAAAAUAUGCCUAAAUCUACACAUGUGUUUGUAGCAAAUGGGAAAGGAGAACCUAUUCUAGGAAAAGGAAAACUUAAACUGUUAAGUGAUGAGAUCGAGUCAACAACUUUGUAUGUACCCUCAUUUCCUUUCCAACUUUUGUCCAUAUGAAAAAUCACAACCACUCUAGAUUGCCUUGCCAUAUUCUCUCCUCACAAUGUUGUAUUUCAGGAUCGAGUUAUUCGAAAGAAGAUUGGUGAAUGGUUUCUCUCAAAUGGACACUAUUAUCAUUCCAAGAAGUUCAAGCCUGUUAAAAACCUUAUUGCCAGCCUCAGUCUCCUUUAAGAAUACCAACUUUGGCAUCUUUGACUGGCCUUCCCUUAGAACCUGUGAUGACCAAACUCUUUCCUAAUUUUUGUAAACCUCUAAAUGAGUGAGAGAUAUGUCAAGUGUCAAAAGUAACUAGACUUCCUUUUGUUUCUUCCAUGUCUAGAACCAAUAAAUUGUUUAAGGUUGUUCACUCAGAUUUCUGGGGUCCUUCUCAUGUGACUCAUUUGAUGGAUAUAAAUACUAUGUCACUUUUAUUGAUGACUACUCUCGGGUCACUUGGGUUUAUCUCUUAAAGUUCAAGAGUGAAUUUUUUGAUGCUUUCAAAGACUUUCAUAAAUUGAUCACAAACUAAUUCUCAUCUAAGUUAAACUCUUACAAUUGGACAAUGGCAUUGAGUACACAUCCAAUAACAUGUCUAAUUAUUUGAGCAAUCAUGGGAUUUUACAUCAAACUAGCUGUGUUGGUACACCACAACAAAAUGGUGUAGCUAAGAGAAUGAACCGUGACUUAUUAGAGAAAACAAGGUCUCUUAUGUUUCAAAUGCAUGUUCCCAAAAGGUUUUGGUCUCAGGCCCUUCUCACUGCAGCUUACAUCAUCAACAGAUUACCUACUCGUGUUUUAAAAUCAAAAUCACCUGUUGAAGUAAUGAAGGGAAGAAAUAUUGAUAUCUUACACCUCAGAACCUUUGGGUGCACCUGUUAUGUACAUGUUCAAGCUGCACAUCGAGAUAAGCUUGAACCCAGAGCUGUCAAAAUUGUGUUUAUGGGAUAUUCAAGCUCUCAAAAAGGAUAUAAAUACUACAAUCCUCAUAAUGGAAAGACUGGAGUCUUAAGAGAUGUUCGAUUUGAUAAGCAUACUCCAUUUUUUCACAAAGGUUGCAGUGAAGAACCUCAGGGGGAGAGUCCUAUGGAAAUAUUUCCUUUGCCUACCCCAGCACACCUACAUGAAUGCAAUCCUUAAAAUGUUCUUUUCGAAUAUCUCUCAGAGCAACGUGAUGGUGAGGAAAUAGCUCAUGAUCAAGAAAACUCAGUCACUGCACCACAACCUGUCUUGGCUCCAUGAAGAAAUCCUACCCGAGACAGGCAUCCUUCAUUAAGGCUGUAAGAGUACAUUACAUACAAUGCAAGACAUCCUAUCUCUAAAGCUUUAACCUAUCAAAAACUGUCAACACCAUAUGCAACAUUUCUCAAUCAGUUGUCCACUAAUGUUGAACCAAGGAACUUUAAUGAAGCUUCUCACAUUCAAGUAUGGCAGGAAGCAAUAGAAGAAGAGCUCAAAGCACUGAAUGACAACCAAACAUGGAGUGUGGUUGAUCUUCCAAAGGGAAAAAUGGCAGUAGGGAGUAGGUGAAUAUACAAGACAAAGUUCCAUUCAAAUGGCAGUAUUGAAAGACAUAAGGCUCGAUUAGUAGCUUAUGGCUUCACACAAACUUAUGGCAUUGUCUACAAGGAGACAUUUGCUCAUGAAGCCAAAAUGAGCACGGUACGAGUGCUGUUGUUUAUCGCAGUUAAUCACGACUGGUCUCUAUUGCAAAUGGAUGUGAAAAAUGCAUUCCUCCAUGGUGAACUUGAAGAAGAGGUACACAUGAAGCUUCCUCCCGGACAUCCACAAGAGCAUGAAACUAACAAAGUUUGCAAACUUCACAAGGCUAUAUAUGGACUCAAGCAAUCCCCUUGAGCCUGGUACUCGAAGUUAAGCUCAGUUCUUGAAGCUGCAAGGUUCCAGAGGAGUCAUGCUGAUUCUUCAUUGUUUGUUCGUAAUGGUACAAAUGGUAAGGUCAUUGUCCUUAUAUUUGUUGAUGACCUUAUUAUAACGGGUGACAACAUAGAAUAAAUCAAUGCUCUCAAAUCCUCUUUUCAUCAACAAUUUGCUCUUAGGAUUUGGGAAUCUUAAAGUACUUUCUUGGCAUUGAAAUGGCCACAUCAUCCAGAGGAUUGUUCCUAAAUCAAAGAAGAUAUGGACUUGAUCUAUUGGAUGAAGCUCACAUGUUGGAUUGCAAGCUAGCACGCACCCCUCUUGUGAGCAAACUUCAAUUAGAUGUCCAAAGUGAACCAUUGUCAAACCCUAGUGUCUAUCAACGUAUGGUAGGAAAGCUAAUCUACCUCACAAUUAUAUGACCUGACAUUGCUUAUUCAAUAAGCCUUGUUAGCCAAUUUAUGCACUCUCCCACACUGAUUCACUGGGAGAUUGUCAAAAGGAUACUUAGAUACUUGAAGGGGUCAAUUGGAAAAGGCUUGCUUAUGAAGAAACAUGGCUCAAAUCACAUUAUGGCAUACACUGAUGCUGAUUGGGUAGGUAAUGCCCUCGAUCGCAAGUCUACCACUGGUUUCUGUACAAUUGUUGGUGGUAAUCUUGUCACAUGGAAAAGUAAAAAAUAAACGGUGAUUGCGCGAUCAAGUGUUGAGGCCGAGUAUAGAGCCAUGGCAUCAACGACUUGUGAAUUAAUCUGGUUAAAGAGUCUCCUAGCUGACCUUGGCUACAUCGACACAGAAUACAUCGACACAGAACCUAUGUCUCUAUUUUGUGACAACCAAGCUGCCAUACACAUAGCUUUGAACCUAGUUUUUCACAAGAGGACAAAGCAUAUUGAGGUUGAUUGUCAUUACAUCCGUGCCCAAGUGCAAUCCAAAGUCAUCAACACAGUGUACACUCGAAGUUCCGAUCAACUUGCUGACUUGUUCACAAAAGCUCUCGACUCUACUCAUUUCCAAAGAUUGUUGAGCAAUCUUGGAUCAAUUAAUCCUCUUGAUCCAGCUUGAGGGAGUAUUGAAACUGACCGGGUAUGAGCAUGCUAGAGUCUACUUGGGUCUAUGUUGGAAGGUUGCUCAAGGCACAUCACAACUCAUCAAAUUUCAAGUUGCAACUGCAACUCUAGCCCUCAUUCUCGGGUAGAGUUGCAGCUGCUACUAAACCGUCAUUUUUUGUUACUAACUAUCCCUUAAUUCUAGGGUUUAUGUCUUUUAGUAUUUCAGCUCUAGAUUUCUUGUAACUUGCAACUAGGGCUAGCCUUUUUAUCUUUUGGUCUCUUCCUUGCAGCUGUUUUGUAAUUGUUCAAUGGGUUCUUUGCUUGGCUCGGUCUCUCUAUAAGAGCCCUCACUUGUAAUACCAAUACAUGAUGAAAAUAUACAAAUGGUUUUGUUAAACUGAAUUCCAAUAACAAUUAAGCAAGUUUGUCUAUUGUGGAUACAAAGUCAAGCAAACAAGAUCGAGCAAAAUCAUACUUUGUGAUUACAAAGUCAAGGGUCCAUUGUAUAGGCGCUCAUUGUUGUAUAGCCUAGCUUUUAUUACAUGUAGUAGGAUGUAGUUGGGAGCUGCUGCCUUUAUUGUCGUGAAACUCUAGCACUCCUAUAUAAGGAGUUUCUUGUACCGUUUCUACAUAGAAACACAUCAACAUAUUAUUUCUCCAAAACAAAGCUUAAUUAUAAGUUUUCAAAUACCAUUCUCUUCAUGGUAUCAAUAGCCAUGUGUCUAACGACAAACCUCUAACUGAAUUUUUCCCUCUUCUUCUACCUUAAUCUAGUGAGUUUGUGACUGUAAUUUUUUUUUCUCUUCUGCCUUACCAUCUACUCGACUUUUCUUCAGCUUCCAUGGCCGCUUCUUCUCUUCUUACCAGCUCCCUUCCUAAUAUUUCCUAUUUGGUUUCAAUAAAACUUGAUCGAACCAAUUACAUAUUGUGGCUUGCCCAAUUUAAUCCUUUACUUAAAAGUAAUGAUCUUAUUGGCUAUGUUGAUGGUACAAAAACAUGUCCAACAAAGUUUCUUGAGGAUGUUACUACUCUCAAUCCCGAGUACGUGACUUGGCAGCGACAAUACCAACAAAAUAGUACUGCAUGCAUCAGAUACAAAGAUGGAUACGAGAAUUCACUGGCAUCCAUUGACUUUCAAGGAAAAGAAGAAUGAUGGUCCACUGCAGUUCUGUAAGGGAUGCCUGGAACCAGUGCUUGGGCCUCACUACACUUGCGACACGUGUAACAACAUUUACUCGUCCUAUGCCCAUAAGUUCAAUAUACAUAAAUCAUGUGCGGAGGUACCCCGUGAGAUCCACCACCUUACCCACUCCAAACACCCUCUUCUUCUCAAGUAAAACGACCACUACACAUGUGGUGUCUGUCUGUAACUGUAACCAGUCACAUCGAAGAGGAUACAUUCUAUCUCACUAUUGUUCUAAAUGCAACUUCUGUAUAGACCUGAAAUGUGCUUGGCAAAACCACGGUGAGCACAACUUCACCAUCCUUAGGAAGCCCAUUGAAUUCACUUGCGAUGUCUGUGGCCUAGGUGAUGGGUCUGGUUACAAAGACAACUUCUACCUCUGCAACAUUUGCAAGUUCCUUGUCCAUGAGCAAUGCUCUUGGUUACCACUUCGAGUCAAAAUAUCAUGGCACCAACACUGCCUCAAGCUUACCUGGUGGUUCCAAGACAUGUACCCUAAAGACCAAUAUUUCUGUGACAUCUGCUCAACAAACAUGGACGGAAACCGUGCUUUGUAUUGUUGUCAUGAUCAUGAAUGUCGUGAUUAUGCUGCCCACUGUAAAUGCUUAAGAAAAGAGGGGAUAAUCAUGAACGUCCUUGUCGAUGAUAAUGAUGAUGAUGCACCAUCCACAUCCAGAUGUCCCCCUGCUAAUGAGACCACCGCUGAUGAUAAACCCUUGCAGAUCGAGCACUUCAGUCAUCCACACAUGUUAACCCUCAUCGAUAGCCAAGAGGUGGCUAGACAAGACGACCAAGAUGAAGGAAUUACUUGUAACGGUUGCACGCUACCCAUCAUGAGGGGUGAGUCUUAUAGGUCAUGCACAGAACAAGCAAUAGAAAAGCCAUGUAAUUUCUCUCUCCACAUAAAUUGUGCUAAAUUACCCCGAAAGAGGCUUCUCCCACUUCACGAACACGAGCUCACACUCCUUCCAACAGCAUCUUCUGUCGGUGACGUUUUUGAGUGUGACAUGUGCAAGUCCUUGAGCCAAGGUUUCUCAUUCCAUUGUGAAGAUAGCGACUUCAAACUAGACCUCUAUUGCAAUAUUCUUUAUGAGCGUAAGCCUCUCCGUUGUGAUGCUCAUGUUCACACACUCCAGUUCAGCACAGAGCUCGUGUCCUGCAGCAGUUAUGGUACUCGUGAAAGGAUUUCUGCUUCAGAUGUGGCCGUAAGAGAUGCGACUUCCAGCUGUGUAUUCUGUGUGUUAAAUUACCUCUUACGGUUAGGUACAAUUACGACGAUCAUCCUCUCAAACUCACUUAUGCUAGUGUUAAAAAUGAGCUCGAUGAGUACUAUUGUGACAUAUGCGAAGGAAAACGAGAUCCAAAACAUUGGUUCUACUCCUGCCUGGAUUGUGACUUUGAAUGUCAUACUCAUUGCAUUAGAGGGAGGUAUCCGCAAGUCAAGUUAGGGGGCUCUUACAAGCAUCAUGAUCACCAGCACGACGUCGCCCUUGUUUAUAAGAGAAAAGGCAAGAUUCCUAAUGAUAAGAGAGAGCGCUUACUUCCUUGUUCCAAGUGUUCUAUGAUUUGCAAAGGAUUGGUUUGUGAAUGUUUGGUGUGUGGUAUUAAUAUGCACCUAAGGCAUAUAAGAAAGCAAAAGCAUAUAAAAUUUCUAUUUUGAAAUCUUGCUUUUCAUUGUUUGCGAUAGGCCUGGCAAUCGGGUCGUGUCAGUCGUGUUCGUGUCGUUUUCGUGUAACACCUGUUAGCUUAACGGGUCGUGUCGUGUCACACCCGUUAUCUUAACGGGUCCUUAACAGGUCGGGUCACUUUACCCGUUGGGUAAAGUGACCCGACCCGACCCGUUAUGACCCGUUAUGACCCGUUAAGAAAAAUAUUUUUUUUUUCUUAAACUUGCACAUACUACAUAUUGUCACAUAAAUAUUACUUUAAAACAUUAAAACGCAUUUGUUGUUUAAAUACUACAUCAACACUCGAAAAUAAGAGUAAUAAAAAAAAUCCACACAUUACUAAUCUAUUACAAAUAUUAAAUAUGCAAGGAUAUGCAAAAUGAAAGCGUUUUGUUUUCAAGGUUGUGAAGUCUUUUUCAAAAGUUUAAACCUUGUCAAUGGAACUCAAAGCUUGCAUGCUAUUCAUUUUACAAAAUCCUCAAUUUACGUCGAUCAUCAUGAGGAAGUUGCAUUGGAACUUUGGCUUGAUCUAUUGCCUUCUUCAAGAGUUAUGUUGAUAAUGUUUUCAGUAAGAUUUUCCAUGUCAGAACUCUCUUCCGCAUAAACUAAAUAUAGAAAAACCAAACAUUAAAAAUCAUUCAAAUUAUAAGAAAUUUACCAAAAUAAUUAUGAAAAGAAAUAAAACAAUAGUACUAUACCAUAUAAAAAUAUAUUACCUCCUUUUCCAAAUAGCCAAUCUCGUGUGCACAACAAAGCUUGAACUGUUUCUGGUAACAAUGAACUACGAUACUGAUCUAGUACUCUACCCCCAAUACUAAAUGCAGAUUCUGAUGCAACAGUUGAAAUGGGAAUUGUUAACACAUCUCGUGCUAACUGAGAAAGUAUCGGAUAAUGAAAACGCUCCAUUUGCCACCAAGAAAGAACAUCUAUGUCUACUUUUCUAUCUAUUCUUUUAUCCUCCAAAUACUUCUGCAAUUCAGUUUUUUCAAUCGAACUUGAACCAUCGUAAUUAUUAUCAAAAUCCUACAUCAUAAAAAAUCAUGCAUCAUGUUAAUUUCAAAUAUAAUAUCAACACUUUUUAUACUACUACUACAAUCUACAAAUAUAUAAAGUAAAUAAAAAAUAAACUUAGGUUACCUCAAAGAGAACAUCUACAGAUUCUGUUUGAUGAUUAGGCACUGAAUUCCUUGGAGUAUUUGAAUUAUCAAGAUGUGAAAGUUUUUCCAAGUACACACCAAAAAGAACAUUCAAUUUGUCAUUCACACCUUUGUAAAUUCGACCGAAUUCACACCAUGAAGCUUUGUGUAAGCCCAAUCCACAAAAUUCAAUUUAUAACGAGGGUCUAAGAUGAUUGCAAUUGCCAAAAUCAAACUAUACUCUGACCAAUACUUCUCAAACUUCAUGUACAUGUAAGUCGCCAUCUUAUUCAUGAAACUUUCAGAGGCAUCCAUGGCUGCCUUAAUUUGAAGUUGGAUUACGAACACCUUAGGGAAGAACAAAUUUGAUGUAGGGUACUUUGUCCCAGAGAAUAAGCACGUAACCUCAUAAAAGUACUCCAAAAACUUGGAAAUCUUCAUUAUUUUAUCCCACUCUUCAGAAGAAGGACAAGUAUUAAAAUUGGAAUCACUCAACCCUAAAUGAAUCAAAGCAUAUCGAUAGAAAAUUGCAUUAUCUAGCAUAAUGUAGGUUGAGUUCCAUCUAGUAGGGACAUCUUGUCUCAAACCUCUCCUACUAUCCAAUAUCCCCACUUGUCUAACACAUUCAUAAAACUUUAGUUUUCUAGCCUCAGAGCCCUUUAUAUACUUGACGCAUUCACGAAUCUUUAUCACCGAAGAAUCAAUUUCUUUAAGUCCAUCUUGAACUAUCAAAUUCAAGACAUGAGCACAACAACGCACAUGAAAGAAGUCACCAUUCAUCACGAGAAGACUUCUGAGAUUCAAUUGAUUCUUCAAAAUGCUAACAAAAGAAAUAUUUGAAGAAACAUUAUCCAAAGUAAUAGAAAAUAACUUCUUCUCAAUUCCCCACUCAGUCACCAAUGCAUUAAUUUUCUCAGAUAAUGCAACACCAGUAUGAGGAGGAGGCAUGUGACAAAAACUUAAAAAUUCUCUUAUGCAAUUUCCAAUCUUUGUCUACAAAGUGAGCAGUAAGAGCAAGAUACCCAUCAGUGCAUUGCGAGGUCCAUAAGUCUGAUGUCAAACAAAUUCUACCUUCAACCGAGUCUAGCAAAUUAUGAAGCCUUUGUUUUUCAUUUUUGAACAUCCUUAACACACAGGCUUUAAUUGUAUUUCUACACGGUAACUUAAUAUCAGGAGAUAUAUAUGCAAACAAAGCCCUAAUUCCCUCAUAUUCAGAAAAACUAAAAGGAAGAUUAUGCUUGAUGAUGGCCUCUACCAAUAAACCACGAAAUACCACCGGAUCAAAGUUUUGGGAACAGAAUUCAGACACCGACAAUCCAACAGUCUGUCCAGGGCAUGUUUUCAAAUGUCUAUUCAUAUUACCCGUCCCAUGAUGACUAUCAUCUAUUACCAGUUUCUUACAAUCUUUACAUUGAGCACGACUUUUACCAUCUUCAAAAAUAGUAGUCAAUUUGUUGAAAGUUUUCCAAACAGGAGACCUGAGUGUUCGCUUACCUAAUUUGAUCACUCUAGCCUUUUUCUUUGCCGGACUUGUAUUUGUAUCUUCCAUAUUUUCACUUCCAUGAUCAGGUUGUAUUCCCAUUGUCACUUCCACUGAUCCUCCAUCACUAAGGUUCGUAAAAUCUUGCUCUACAACAUCCAUUGCUUCAAGAAAGAAAAACAAAACUAUAAAAUCUUGCUCAUACCAAUUUCAUACCAUAUCUAUUUCAAAUUCACUUAUCCAUUUCAAUUUCAAAUAGAUCAGCACAUAGAUCAACAAAUAGAUCAUCAUUUCAUUUCAAUUUCAAUUUCAAUUUCAAAUUCAUACAUCCAUUUCAAAUUCAUACAUCAACAAAUAAUACUAUUUUGUUUUUGCAUUAAUCCAUAUAAUAUAAGGCAUAACGGAUGCAAAGUUAACCAAAAAAUGAUGAAUAGCUAGCCACUGUGAAAAUGAUGCAAAGUUAACUAUAAGAUAAUGAUUAGGGUUAUCCCCAUCAACUCAACACCUCUCCAUUUCUUUCCAAUAAUUCAUCCAAUUCAGAAACCCUCCUCACCAACCCUUCUAUUUCUAUACAAAAAGAUGAAUUGUUAACCAUUGCGAAAACAUGUGGUUAUCAGAUAACAAUACGGGUGUUGGACAAAGGGCAUGAACUUCAAAGCUUUCCCCAUCAUAGCCUCAUUUAGAUGUGUUUGAUAUAUAUGGUUCUGUCUUUUUAACACACAUUUAGAAACCUUAAUUUCAGAAAAUCGUAAUUCCUGUGAUUAUUAUUUAUAUCAAUUAGCAAAUACCAAAUAGAUCAGCAAAUUCAGCACAACAAACUGAGCAAAGAAAUCAUGAAGCAAAUUAACCUUCUCCAAAAGCCCUAAUUUAGAAACCCUAAUUUCAAAAAUUCAUAAUUCCAAAAGUCCUAAUUCAGAAACCCUUGAGUUCAUUGUAGGAAUUUUUUACCUUGUGCAGUGAGGUGAGGAGUGCGGACUGAGAUCGAGAGCUCGAUUCAGGAGCCGUAUUUGGGUGGUACUGGUAUGGAGUCCGGAGUCUGGAAUCUGGACAGUAUGUGAACCAGUGAAGUCGCGAUUUAGGUGAUGACUGAGGACUGACAGAGUGACUGAGUGAGGGGUGACGGUCUGGGUGAGGUCGAGGACGAUGAGGAGGGUGAUCCGGUGAGGUCACUGAGACUGAGGUGAGGGUGACUCGGUGACGGUGAGGCGCCGCGUGAGGUCGAUCGAGAGAGAGACAGAAAGAAUGAUUUGAGUUUCUGAUUUGAGAAAGAAUAGAAGGAUAGCCUACAAUGGACGGCUGAGAUUAAAUCUCAGCCGAUCCAAUGGUCAUCAAUUUUUAAAAUUUAAUUUAAUAUAUAUAUAUAUAUAUAAUUAUUAUAGUUUUUAGGGGUAUAAAAUUUUGUGGCAUCCAUCUACUAGUGUAAAUAUUUUAAAUUGAAGAUCGAAUUCAUUCAUUGUAUUCAUAUAGGGUCAAGGAGUGUAGUUGUAAAAAAUCAUCAAAAUCGGAGUUAAAAUAACCGUUAAAUCGUGAUUUUUUGUUUAUAACCGUCGAAACGUUUUGUCUUGUUCCUUGAUCUCUGAAUGUUUUUUUUUUGCAAUUUUUGGCGUACUUGAUCUCAAAGUAUAUACAAACAUGUUUGACGGUUGGAUCGUUGAAAUUAGUUUCGUAGAAUAUGUAUCCCAUCAAAACAAUAGAUUCACUAACACUUAAGAGUUUAUUCAUACUUUCAUCAAGUAUAACAUAAGAUUUUGUGGUAUCCACUAGUGUAAAUAUUUUAAAUUGAAGAUCGAAUUCAUUCAUUAUAUUCAUAUAGGGUCAAGGAGUGUAGUUGUAAAAAAUCAUCAAAAUCGGAGUUAAAAUAACCGUUAAAUCGUGAUUUUUUGUUUAUAACCGUCGAAACGUUUUGUCUUGUUCCUUGAUCUCUGAAUGUUUUUUUUUUGCAAUUUUUGGCGUACUUGAUCUCAAAGUAUAUACAAACAUGUUUGACGGUUGGAUUGUUGAAAUUAGUUUCGUAGAAUACGUAUCCCAUCAAAACAAUAGAUUUACUAACACUUAAGAGUUUAUUCAUACUUUCAUCAAGUAUAACAUAAGAUUUUGUGGUAUACACUAGUGUAAAUAUUUUAAAUUGAAGAUCGAAUUCAUUCAUUGUAUUCAUAUAGGGUCAAGGUGUGUAGUUGUAAAAAAUCAUCAAAAUCAGAGUUAAAAUAACCGUUAAAUCGUGAUUUUUUGUUUAUAAUCGUCGAAAAGUUUUGUCUUGUUACAUGAUCUCUGAAUGUUUGUUUUUUUGUAAUUUUUGGCGUAUGAGAUCUCGAAGUAUAUACAAACAUGUUUGACGGUUGGAUCGUUGAAAUUAGUUUCGUAGAAUAUGUAUCCCAUCAAAACAAUAGAUUCACUAACACUUAAGAGUUUAUUCAUACUUUCAUCAAAUAUAACAUAAGAUUUUGCGGUAUCCACUAGUGUAAAUAUUUUAAAUUGAAGAUCAAAUUCAUUCAUUGUAUUCAUAUAGGGUCAAGGAGUGUAGUUGUAAAAAAUCAUCAAAAUCGGAGUUAAAAUAACCGUUAAAUCGUGAUUUUUUGUUUAUAACCGUCAAAACGUUUUGUCUUGUUCCUUGAUCUCUGAAUGUUUUUUUUUUGCAAUUUUUGGCGUACUUGAUCUCAAAGUAUAUACAAACAUGUUUGACGGUUGGAUCGUUGAAAUUAGUUUCGUAUAAUUCGUAUCCCAAGAAGUUCAAUGGUGUGUGUGUUACGUAUAUAUAUAUAUGUUAAGUAGAUUUAAAUCUAUUUAUUUUGUAUGUAUAAUUAUUAUAGUUUUUAGGGGUAUAAAAUUUAAUAUAUAUAUUUAUAUAUAUAAUUAUUAUAGUUAAUAUUUUGGGGGUAUAAUUAUUAUAGUAUAUAAAAUUAUAAUUAUUAUAAUUAUUAUAGCUAAUCAAUAAUAUAUAUUUAUUUGGGGGUAUAAUUAUUAUAGUAUAUAUAUAUUAUUAUAUUAUUAUAGUUAAUCUAAUAUAUAUAUAUAUAUAUAUAAUUAUUAUAGUUCUUAGGGUAUAAAAUUGUUAAAUUAAUAUAUAUAAUUAUUAUAGUAUUUUUUAGGGUUAUAAAAUUAUUAAAUUAAUAUUCUGCUUAUCGUGUAUCGUGUUACUCACGUGUAUACCCGAACCAACCCGUUAUCUUAACAGGUGCUUAUCGGGUUACCCGAUAACGACCCGUUUCGUUAUCGUGUCGACUCGAACACCUGUUAAUUUCGUGUCGUGUCGUGUCGGAUUAUCGGGUCGUGUCAGGAAUUGCCAGGCCUAGUUUGCGAGCAUAUCAGAAUGUGUGUAAGCGUGUGCUCGUGCGCGUGUUUGUGAAUAUGACCACUCUUUAUCAAGGACCAUAAACCACGGCGGAAGAAAACAAACAAUUGUCUAAACAACCUACAUUUGUUUUGCUGUGAUAAGUAAAAAGGACAACAGCAUAUAUUCACAGAGAUGACUGUUAUCAAGCUUAAAGGGAACGACAUCCAUGACUCAGCACGGGAACACAUAAUUACAUAGACUUAAUAAAAUUAAAAUAAAAUCUGUUAACCCUUAAACUCACCUGAUUUUCCUUUGUGGAGUAUAUUUGAGUAUCCUCAGCUAUCAAUUGCGACAAAGUGUCAACACUAACCUUCUGCCAACAUGUGCAUAAGAAGUCAGAGUAAGACAUUAUUCAUUUGCUGUGAGAGAGAGAGAGAGAGAGAGAGAGAGAGAGAGAGAGUUCAGAUGAUACCAUGGAAAACCAUUACAUAGGCCACAUCUCUAGUUCACAUAUCUAAAUUGUGAAUUCAUUGAAUGAUGAAUGAUGUUGUAUAUGAAGCUACAAAUAUACGACAAGCAAUAAUGAUAGAUAAAUUCAUCUAUAUUGGUUUAUUAAAGUUGGUCAAACAUACCUUUUGUUUUGAUCGGGAUUUAGUAGUUUGGUAGUUUCAUUCUAAUUUCCAUAGUUUAUAAUAGUUAACCAACUAAAAGUGCUUUCUUUUGAUUACUAUCUAAUAUAUUUUGGCCAGUUGGCAAUCCUACUAGAUUUACUUAGGCGCACAUCAAAAAUGUGUAUUAUACAUGUACAUAAGAUAUAAUGCUAAAUAUCUUUUUAUAGUUGUCUCAUAUUACAUAAAAAGAGUUAAAGUACUCUCUCUCUCUCUUUGCUUGAAAACUAUGUAUCCAUUUCAUCAUCAUGCAUUUUUUUGGUGAAGCUACUAUGUUUUUGUAAUUUUUUUUUAUAUUGAGGAGGAAUAGAGGCUAAAGUACCUCCAAUUUGUUCAAGAGGCUUUAGCUCAUGCCACAGUUUGCUUCACAUACCUCUAUUGUUAGCUUCCAUACAAUAUGUUGUGUGUUUCGUUGCUGCAAGUUUGUAAUUUUACUUGCUACUUGAUUAUAAAAAUGUAAAACAAAAUCCGUCUGUGAUUACAAAUUUGUAUUCAAGUUUAGACGUUUUUCUAGUGUAAGACAUAUGUUGCAUAGGCAUGUAAAUGGUACAAAUUGUUUCUGGUUUUGGACAAUAAGCUUUUGAGUUUUACUAUCCUUGCAAGAGGACUGUGACUCAAGCGAACAAAUUUAGUGUUUGGGGAAUAGAGUUUGGUUCUCUUUAAUACAUAAUUUAACAAAGGCCUACAAAUUUUCCUUGAAGGAAUAUGCAAAUGUGUUCUCCGCAACUUGGCCUGCAGUUUAUGUGAAGGGGCAUUAAUGUGUGUUAUUUGCUUUUCGUAAAAUGUGUGUUAUCUGCAUUGGUGCAUUUGAGGGUGUGAUUACCUUCCUACCAAAUGCGAUGGCAAGUGCCUUCGCCCAUAAGCGGUAGGUCUCGGGUUCGAGACUUGGGAGUAGCCUCUCCAUAAAUGGGGGUAAGGCUAGCCGACAUUCACCUCUCCCAGACCCUGCGUAAAGCGGGAGCCUUGUGCACUGGGUACGACAUUUUUUUAUUGUGACUAAUACAUUCAAUGCCCGUAACGAAGUGCGAACAGAUUUUCUAGUAUGUUCUAAUGUAUAGAACAAAAUUCAUGUCCUCAGAUUAAUUUUUUGAAAAUAUAUAUUACAGUAAACAGUGAAGCCAUGUCUUGACUAGUAUAUCAAACACGCUCACGGUUUGCAAAGACAGACCGUUUGACCAUUUCAUAUGAUUAUUCAAAUUAGUCACUUUUACUUAACUUGUGCACGUACAAGAUUAUGGUUCGGUUCUUUGCACCAGAAGAAACCAAUGCAAACCAGAGCAGAAAAGCAUGAAAACACAUAAUUACUUUAUGUGCAGAACGUACCCAGAUGUAUUUCUACCAAAAGUAAAAUUCAUAAAUAACUUAGUUGACAUACAAGAUCUACCCCAAUCAAACAAACAGUUGUUCAUGCCAAGCAUUGAAACCUUUUUGUAUGAAUGAUUUGAUUCCAAAUUUCAACCAAAAGUUAUAACUGCACCACCGCGCACGCCACACUGAAAAGGUAUAUACGGCCGGGCAGUGUAGAAAUCUCAUCUCAAUGUGAUAAAACCUUAACAGUUAAUAAGUUCCAAACCAUUUGACAUCAAUAUCUCAUAUUAGAGAAACGCCCUUCUUCCAAAUGAUGGCCAGAUUUGUCAUCUUAUGAUGUCAAUUUUUCUUCUCUUUGAUUUUUUCACAUAAUUUUCUAAUUGUCCCAUAAAAAAUUUGUCUUUAGAUUGUUAGAGUAAUAUUUGAAAAUACGAAAAUAAUACAAGAAUUUCAAUGAUAAUAAUCAUAAUGAAAAUUGUUGAUGCACAAAAUCAGUAGGGACUUUGGUACAACAGAAAAUGUUAAGUUUGUGACAUUCGCUAGAUUGAUCCGGUCGCUAGUGUGGAUAAGUAUGUAAAUGGAUAGAGACAGGGAAGCAAACACAAGAUGUAAGUGGUUCACCUAGAUUGGCUACGUCCACGGAGUAGAAGAGUUCUCAUUAAUUGUGAAGGGUUUACACAAGUACAUAGGUUCAAGCUCUCAUUUAGUGAGUACAAGUGAAUGAUUUAGUACAAAUGACAUUCGGAAAUAUUGUGGGAGAAUGAUCUCCUUUUAUAGAAGAGAGUUUUUAGUUUUGUUUUGACAUUGACACGUGUUGUGUUGUGAUUGGCUUUUGAUGUUGACACAUGUCGCGCUAUGAUUGGCUUCUGAUGUCGACACGUGUCGCGCUGUGAUUGGCCUCUUAGUUGAAAGGAAACUCUUAUGGGUCCUUGAUGGUAUAACGUUGACCAGUGCUCGGUAGUUUCGAGAUUGGUCAAGUAUGGUACAAACAAAAAUAACAACAUAAAUUGUAUACAAGAUUAAUAUAAACAACAGAGAAAGGAAGAAAUGCUGACAAACUUGGAGAUUGAGACUUGCAUGAAUGCAAUGUCCUAAAGACAGAAUUUCGCCCAUACUCGUAGUUCGGUAGGCGUUUGUCUCCCAGAAUUUAACAAUAUAUAAUCCAAAGUUGAAGCACUUUAAAUCUUUGAACCCUGGUGGAAAUAGAGAGGGGAAACCCCGUUUCUCAAGAGUAAGAAUCUAUUUUGUUUUUGUAUGCAUUAGACAGGUGGGAUGCUUGAGUUUAUAGAAUUUGAGCCAUCCAUUUUGAAACAUUUGAUUGUUGAUUAAAGUUCCAAUUAACCGAUGCAACUCAUGAAUUUGAAUUCAAUUAUAACACUUGACUCUUUAUUUUCAUUAAAAAAUUAAAUAAAUAUUAUAAAUUAAUUUCCAACGAACAAUAAGUUUGUUAGUAUUUCUUACUUUCUCUGUUGUUUAUAUUAAUCUUGUAUACAAUUUAAAUUUAUGUUGUAAUUUUCAUUAUGAUUAUUAUCAUUAAAAUUCUUGUAUUAUUUUCAUAUUUUUUUAAUAUUGCUCCAACACUGCAUAGUAUAAUCUCUGUAAAAUAACCUUAUAAAUGAAGUUAAAUAUUUUGUCACAAGAAAAGGAAAAUUCAAUGAUCUAAACCAGAAUUAUUAAAGGUUAACAAAUUAUUAGAAUCUUUUAUUUUUCGUGAAAUGCAAGCUAUCAAAUUAUACAUGACGAGAUAAAGAAAUAAACAUGGCCUAGUCAUCAAGGAUUCUUAGUGUAAUACCCUGAAAAUUUAAAAUACAUGGUUAUGUGGAGUAAAUCGAGAAUAAAUGAUUUAUGGUUAUGAAAAAUUUAAUUAAGAACUUUUAAAGUUUGUUUUCAGAAAUUAUUAUAAUUUACAACGUAAAAUUUAUUGAUAAGUGAAAAGAUCAAAAUGCCCGUAAGGAGAUGUGUUGACUUUUGUUAACCUCGUCGUCGUGACACGUUUGACAUAUAAUUUAGUAUAUUUGAAUAAUGUUCGUUGCCACAAAUUGGGUGCUAAUCGGAAUUUCGACGAAGAAGUUGCGGAUUUUUAAUCUUUUAGGUGAUGGGCAAUAUAGUAAAUUGGGAAAAAAAAAACAGGAGAUUGUUCUAGAAGGGAGGAGACCAUUUUCUUCUUCCGUGGCCGAGGGGGGGGGUUGGAUGAUCGAAGGGAAAAAAAAAGGGAGGGGGUUGUUCUUGUUUCCGUUUUGGGCUCCCCUAAACACAAAUCUUAUACCUCUUUCCUUUAAUCCUCGAUUUUGACCAACCUUACAUCUUAACUCAAGUCCUCGUCGAGCCCAUCACGUUUGUCACCUCGAUUUUGCCAGAAAUCACCAAACAAGGCAGAAGUUCGUAGCUUUGUUUACAGGGAGACUUAUCAGUGUUCCUACAUGGCAGCCCGAGCCGGUUCUUCUUUUGCUUGGGAAGACCCCGAAAUAGAAAGAUCUGAUGCCGCAUCAGAUACACCCCUUGCCGUCUUAAGUCAUGUCUGACUUUGUCAGUGGACAAGGCCAGAAAGGAAGAAAGCAUGCUCGAACAGGUGCAAGUCCUUCUCCCCAUCCAUUGGCUUUUCAAUCGAUUUAAGUAAUUCUAAAUUUAAGAGAGCCUGGAGGUAUGCAUGCCAAUCUUCCUCGUAGAUUAAUAUGAGUUAUAAAGUAAGCUAACUAUUGUAUAUGUGCUUGAAUUCUGACCAUGAGGUUGAAAGCUUGGACGAAUUAACGAGUGGUUAGACAAUUGUAAAAUGGUUGAGAUAAAUAAUUAAUUGGAUAAGGAACCCAAGUUGAAAUUCAAAGAGGAUCCAAAGUUGAAAUUCAUUGCAAACUUGAAUUGAAAGAGAUUAAAUUCAAAGUUCUGUGAAUUAUAGGCCAAUAUCCACCCUAUUUAUAGCAAAAAAAAAAAAAUUCAAAUCCAACGGCAAGUUGAUGUCACUUAACCAUUGGAUUUGAAUUUAAGUUGUAGUUUUUAAAUAAUAAAUUAUGUUUGGCCCUCAGUUAGAGACGGUUUUUUGUGACAAGACUAAAACGAACCCUAUGACCCUUUGGCCCUCGGUUGGAGAUGAAGGUAAAUACAGUCAUGUAUUGUUCAUUAAAAUAUUAAUUUCUUUGAGAACUUUAGCCUUCUGACCAACCUUCGAUAGGAGAUGGUCUUAAAUUCUUAACGUAAAGCCGAUUGUUGUGCUCUAAUAAAAAAAAAAAAGGCUUCGGUUAUGCUUUAAGCACCUUCGCCUUUGCCUUUUGCCUCUUUUUUUUUUUUUUUUUAAAUCACACCUUUGCCUUUUGUUUGCCUUGCCUUCUACUUAAAGCACAUCUGGCCUUUUAUUUUAUUUUUAAUUGCUCGUCAAUACGAACCCAGAAGCAUAAAUUAGAUCCAAAUCAAAUUUGUAACGAAAAAAAAGUUGGAUGAUAACUGAUAAAUUUUUACACGGGCUUGUGUGAAACUCGCACAUGUUGAAAAAGAAAUGCCUGACUUUGGUUUUGUCUUUGGUGAGUUUUAUUUUCUUUAAAUAAGGGUUUGACUCCGGUCAAUAGUAUCGGGUGGAGGGGCCGUGUGUGUAAAUAUGUGUUUUCUUGGGUCAAGUGUGUAAAUAUAUUAGUUUGUUUGAAAUGAAAGGGAUGUCUGGUCGAAUGGGACACGUGGCAUGUGUGUGAUUCGGAUGUGACUGGGGAGAAAUUUUUUAUUAGGAUCGGAAUAUGAAUGGUACAUCACAUGUUUUUAUAUAAGUGGUUAAAAUUUUUUUUGUUAAGUUAUUAAGUUUUUAGCACAUAUAUUACAUCAUUUAUAUAGUGACACGUGGUGUAUCAUCCCGUGUUCCGAUCACACUCACAAAUCUCUUGUAACUAGAGAGAAAUUUUUCAUUUUAACCAGAACACGAGUGGUACACCAUGUGUUUUUAUAUAAGUAGUGAGAAAUUUUAGUUUUUAAAUUAUUAAAUUUUUAACAUAAGUAUUUCACUAUUUAUAUAAUGACACCUAGUAUACCAUCUCGUGUACCGAUCAUAUUGAAAAAUCUCCAGCGAUCGGAUUUGGAUCCCAAUGUAUGACUCAGGUCAGGGCUGCUAUCUUACGGACUUUUUGGGCUUCGGCGGUUCGGCCCACCAAUGACCAACCCGAAUACGAAUCCGAACCAGAACCGUCGUGGGUCAAACCAAGUAAAACGCUUUUUCCGUUGGAAAAUCAUGAAACCUGCAUGUGUGACAUUGCAAUUUUGCCUCCAAGCCGCUCUAGUUCUGCUCCAGAGCAACACACAGUAGAGAGAGAAAGAAGCCAAGAGAGAGAGAGGGGGAGAGGGAUGGCCUCGCCGUCAGGACCCGAAACUCCGUCGCCGAACAUCUACAUACCGCCGGAGUGGUCCGAGGCAGCAGACUGUAUAGCAUACGAUUCAGUCACUUGGCCGCCACCCAUUGCCUUAGUAUGUGGCGCUAAAAACUGCGGAAAAUCCACCUUUUCCCGCCACCUCCUCAACAUUUUUCUCCGGAGGUCAGUCAGCUUCAAGCUCCCUUUCCCCACUUUGUAACCGUUGAUCAAAUUCACGGCUCUGAUGAUUAGUUUUUUGAGUAAAAGUUGAUUUCUUUGUGUUUGUUUUCAUGUUAGCUGAAUUGGGUCACCUUAUUUACCUGGAUUCUCUCUGUUUUGGGAGUGAAUGUGUAUAAAUUUUUCAUCUUUUAACUCGGUUUGUUUUGAAUUUAAAUUUUUACUACUUUUUUGGGUAUGUAGGUUUGUUUUUUACCAUGUUUUUCUGUAAUUUUGUUUCCAGGUAUAAAAAAGUUGGUUACUUGGAUACAGAUGUCGGUCAACCGGAGUUCAGUCCUCCUGGUUUUGUAUCUCUCACUGUAAUAGAUGAAGCCACUCCAGGCAAUUGUUUAUUUUCUGCACUUACUGUGAAUAAUUUGCUUUAGAAUUUGAAAGGAUUGUUAAUCAUGUAUUCAUGUUAGAAUACCGGUUUUGUUUGGUUUGAUUGCUAAUUGAGUUUUCUUUUCUUUUUUGGUUACAAAUAGAUUUGACAAUCCCGCAUCUGAAGACACCGGAGAGGUAUGAACAGUCCUCUGCCUCGUUAUGGUUUUGAACUUGUUAGCAGUAGUAGUUAUAGUGCUUACCGGAAUACACUCAUUAUUAUGUAGUAGAUGACAAAUAUGUAGGGCAUGAAUAUUGUAAUUUGACAUUCCUUCGGAGCAAGGUUACGUAUAUUUUUUUGCUAGUUUCAAGCUGAGAAAAUGGUUUAUCAUAUUUUUUACCAUAAAGAUUUCAAUUUAGCUCAUCAAUGUUGUAGUAGACGUUGAUUCCUUAUAUAGCAUUUGGAAUGGAGUGUUGUUCUCAAUUGAGAAAUUUUGGAACAAUGCAAUUGGUAUGAAAAUUCGGGACUUAGUAAGGGUUCAGUGAAGACAUUAGUUGCUCUAUAAUCAAAGCUGUAUGCAUCGGUUUUGGAUCACACGGUAUAAACAAGACUUGGAGUUAAAAUUAUAAUUACAAAGCUGGAAAUUUUCGGUUCACAGAAUUUGAAAUGGGACUAGUUAACCUGAGUUCAGUCCUCCUCUCCCUCUCUCUCCUGCCAUGCAUGGAUUUUUUUAUACUAGGUCUGAUGUAAUGAAUAAAGGGAAUCUUGGAAUCUGAUGACUUAUAAUUUGUCUCUUUUUCUCAGAUGUCUUUUCUUUGGUGAUGUUUCUUCGAAGACGAAUCCUACAACAUACUUGAAUUCUAUAUAUUUUCUUUAUAUGAUUACUAUAAGAAGGAAUACUGCUUAUCUGACCAGAGUGAUAGACCUACCAAGACUGGAUUGCCUCUUGUUGUGAAUACACCUGGCUGGGUGAAAGGUAUGCUCUUUUACUUGGUCAAUUGCUCCUCUCUUUUAAUUGUGAUUGAACAAAAUCUCCCUAUCUGUAGUUUUGUUUGCUUGUUUGUUUGUUCUUCACUUGGUCAAUUGCCCCCCUCUGGCUUUUUUUCUGUAGAUAUUUUAUGAACUAAAUUUUCGCAGGUUUCAUCCUAGCCAUGUACCGUUUGAGGCAAAGGCCAAGUGGCUAUUUUAUGAAUCUUCUUUUGAUGGUUAUCGCUGUUUGGAUAUGAAUAUUAUAUAUGAUUUCUUCAUUCCUCUUGUGUACUAGGUGUUGGUUAUGAUUUAUUGGUGGAUAUGUUGAAAUAUAUUGCCCCUACCCAUGUUGUUAAAAUAAACAUAUCAGCCAAGAGUAAGAAUCUACCAAGUGGGGCAUUCUGGUUAGAUGAGGAUCAUGAUGCUAUGCUAAAUCUGAUAGAGAUCAAUUCAGCUCGUCAGGACUCUUUCAAUAGAUCGUAAGUCUUAGCGUUUUCAAGAAUAUCUGGAGACUUUUAUUUUGGAUGCAGGUUAUUUGUACAGUUUUUUUAAUUGCUUUUCCUCCCUUCCAGUACAUUUAAUUUCGUUAUUAUUAAUUUUUAAUUCGAGAAUCAUUUAUAUGAUGUAUAAUUCUUCUUUUCUUGAUUAAAAUACUAAGUUGCAAUGGUCACAUUAGUUUCAGACCAAGUGCCAAAUCUCUUUAGUAUGCUCCAUAAAAUAUAUGUAGGAGGUGAUCACUUUUAGUUAAGCUUAGAAGAAUUCAUCUUUUAUACAAGAUUAUUGAAUCAAGUGAUCAAGUGUCGGGAAUUUACAUAAAUUAUUUUUGCUUCAUAAGCAGCAUAUGCUGGUGGAAGAAGACAAGGAGUUAUAUGGAUGUACUGGAUUUUCCCGUGACAUAUUAUCUUUGUUGUGUUGCAGGGUUCUAGUACAAAAGGAUGCACGUCUGUUGCAUGAUGUACGAAUACUGGCUUAUUUCAGGCAGUGCUUUUCAAGUAGCCUAAACAUUACUACAAUCAAAGAACUUGCUAAUGCUCUGGCCUCUCAACCUCCUUAUGAAGUUCCAAUAUCUAGCAUCAAGAUUAGACAUCUCCAUUGUCAGGUCGGUUCUUAGUUCUGACUGUUGAUCGACUCACUGCAAGUUUCGGAAAUUUUAAAAUCUGUGUGUCUUUUACAUGUACGAGUGAAUUUUGCAUUCUAUUCCUGUUUGCUGUGAGGGUCUGUAGAAAAUGUUACGGGAGAGCUUAGUGGUGAUUACUUUUAUACCUCAUAGCUUUUGAUUUUGUGUCAACAACCAAGGGACUUUUAUUACUAUUAAUUGCUAUUAUAAUUUCAAUUAAGGCUUGUAACAGUUUAGUUCUUUUAUACCAGGUCCCAGGUGCUGAGAGCUUCUACAGUUUGAACGCAACCAUUGUUGGCUUGGCAGUUAGCUCUGGAGGAUCAAAAGAUUUACCUUGGUGUGUUGGUCUUGGUAGGUUACUCUGUUUUUCAACAUUUUGUCUAUUAUAUUUUAUCUAUUUUGUAUAGCUUUGCUCGUAAUUUUAUGUUUUCUGGCUCCAAUACGUGUGGAAGUGAGUUUUCAGAAAAAUUAAGAAGACUUAGUUCUAGAACUUGGUUCAGGGUGCCAGGAAACUAGGUUCUUUAGUUUUUUAUGUUUAUGUUAUUAGGGAAAUCCAGAUUUUCAUUGUUGGUGCGAUGCAGAAACAUAUAGAUAGGUUGAAGCAAUCAAUUUGAACUAAGGUUCUUAUUCAUUUCAAUUGAUGCCUUUUUAAAAAAUAAUAGGAAUUGUGAGAGGCAUUGACACAGUCAAAGGCUUGCUAUAUGUGAUAACACCUGUUCCAAGAGGCACUCUGGAGAAGGUCAAUCUUUUCCUGCAAGGUUAUAUCCAAAUUCCUACUGUGUUGUUGCAGGUAACUGAACCCCUCCCAUGUAAUACAUGUUUCAGACCAAUUGUUUGCUUCUUCAUAGUCUCUCACAUGCAUUCAAGUUUGGAUUCUUUGCCCUUUUCCAAAUACAAUAUGAUCUUAGAGAAGGAAUAACAGUUCGGGAAGAAACGUUCUUGUUGCAUGGAUAGUCAAUCAGUCAGUUAACCACUAUUACAGGGGUUGCUAGGUGUAGUGCAUGUGCAUGUGUGUGGUUUCGUUUUCAGAAACUGGAGAUCUUCGAUUGUGAUUGAAAUUUUCUCUAGUACUCUAGUAGCACCAUGUUAGGGAAGUUUAUACAACAGCUAGGAGAAUGUUAUGGGCAUGUCUACAGUAGUAUACACAUAAUCACUCACAUACACUGAACAAAAUAUCAGAAUCUUGUCGUUCGCAGACUACUACUUUAUUGGAAAUCUAUUGGAAGAACUUGAUUCGCCACAUUAAGGCUCGUUUGGAAGUGCUUUAAUUCCCUUCUAACUUCCUUCAGUAAAUGAAAAGAAGAACCUGCAUAUCGGAUCACCUAACAUAUAUUUCUAUCUCAUCCAAUAUUACCAAGUGUUAUUUCUUACUGAAUCUAUUGAAUUUCAGGUGCAGGGCUGCAUAUCGCCUUACAUGUCUGCAAAUGUUCUCUCAACAAGCUAAGCUCGUUCACAGUUGCUUGGGUUUCAAACAACAUCCUUUACAGUCAUUAAGCUAAGUUUUAUCCCACCAUGCGAGAGACUGACAACCAAUAGGUCAGCUUGCAUAUGGAAUUCCAAAUAGACGAUAUUUUUUUAUCGCAUGGAUUUGAUAGUAAAGGAAAUGUGAAAUGGUUAUCUAUGAACUACUGGAUGUGGUGAUUACACAAUUAGCAAAAUUACAUUUUCGUUGAAACUCGUACACAUAUAUCAAAAGUAAUUGUUGUUGCUGUGAGUUGCAGAACUGCAUUUUCAAUAUAUGUUUCAUGGAGUAGUUUGCAUUGUCGAAUCACGCAACAAGUAUUCUGAGAUUGACAGAUACUCCGGUGAUUCGAUUUUUCUGUAGCAAUCGUUAGCAAAUUACUGGGUGAUACAGAAAGACAAUGUAAAUGCCAGGAAUGGGUCAGUUAAAGUGCCAUCAUCAUCUACAUUCUACAUUUCUACAGAAGUAAAUGCAUGGCUGCCUGCCUUGCAUAAUUCCAUUGGCAUGUGCAAGCUUUCCAGAAGAUAAUUCAAUGGGAUCGUGGAGUUGUCUAGAAGCAAGGUUAGAGGCUUUGUUUGGAGUAGAAGCUACAUAAUGUGAUUGCAUGUUUAGCUUUUUCAAUUUCGUCUUUUUUUUUCAUUUCUCGGAGCUAAAGAAAGAUUUGGCGCAAAACUUAACUGGCCACAGUGGUGUUCUGGGAUUCGUAUAGCCAACCACACUUAGUGGGGUAAGGCUUUGGGUGUUGUUUUUGUUGUUGUUCCAUAUUAAUCUUCUUAAUGUCGAAGCUAAGUUGCACCGAUGGUCCCCGUACUUCAUCUAGAUUUCACUUUUGUCACCAUGUUUUUUUUUUCUUACCAUUUCCAUCCUCGUGGCUUUAUUUAGUCCAAUCCUUCCAAGUCAUGCAAAACUCCUCUGAAUCUAGCGUUGUCAAAGAAGACAUGCACUAAAAUGGAUGUUGACGGAUUGGACUAAAAGUGAAACAAACCAAGACUACAAGACAAAAAUGCAAGAAAAAAAAUUACGUGGAGGACAGUGAACCGAGGAAACUAUUAAUGCAAUUGGCCUAAUUUCGAUAAAUGACACAAAACUUUGGUUAUUCCAUGUACGCGGAACACUAUUACGUAGUAUUAUUAUUACAUUUAAAUUAUAACAUGUGAUGGAUUGGACUAAAACCAAAACAAACCAAGACUACAAAUGAUAAAAAAAACUACGUGGAGGAAAGUGAAUCCGGAGAGACUAUUAGUGCAAUUUGGCCUACUUUCGAAAAAUGGCACAAAACUUUGAGUGGUUUUUUCAUGCGCGCAGAGGAAAGUGAAUCCAGAGAGACUAUAAGUGUAAUUUGGCCUACUUUCGAAAAAUGGUACAAAAUUUGUGCAAUUUGGCCUAAUUUUUUUUCAUGUACACGGACCACCGUCAUGUGGUAUUAUUAUUACACUUAAAAUAUAACACGUGAAAUGAUAACACCACGUAACAAUGUUUCUGGUGCAAAUUUGCCUCCAACUCCAAGGCUUAUGAUAGAUAAACUAACCUACGUCCUUAUCACCCCCAAGAUUUCUUCUGGAACACAAAGCUAUAAGUAGAACAAAUCAGCGGAUCAGACUCCUCUCACAAAACGCUGACGUUUAACCCUAAUCCAGUUGGUUGGCAAGUGCAUGAUAGACCGUUAUUUCAGGUACAUGCCAAGCCUAACAACCGCCAUUUUUCUCCAAACCAAAUUUUCUUGCAUGUUUCCAUGUAUAGCCAGCAAAAUUCCACCACCCAAAAUUUAAAACCUUGCUUCGGAAAACCUUGCCCUCUCCUUCUUUUAGACAGUUCACACACCAACACACAGCGAAAGGUCGUGAUCUCGGAACGGUUUCGUGCUCCGCCAAGGUCAUGAUCUUAAGCACUUUUGAGAAGGAAGCACUUUUGACUCCAUUGUCGUGCUCUCUCUCUUGUUUCCGAACGAAUUCAGAUAGAGAGUAGGCCGGCAUUUGUUUGUUUUAUGGUUGUUUUCGUGUUGGAACAGCGAAAAAACCAGUAUGACGAAGCGAUCUUUUACUCGUUAUGUUGAGCAAGAGCUGGGGAGGGUGCCGCAUUUUGUGAUCUACGCUUUGCUCGAAUGGACGCUGAUCAUUCUGCUCUUCGCUGAUGGGUUCCUUGCGUUUGUUGCCAACGAAUUUGCCAAGUUCUUCGAGCUGCAAAUCCCGUGCUGGCUCUGCACCAGAAUCGAUCACAUUCUGGUUCAUAGGGACCAGGGUUUCUAUUACAAUGACUCCAUUUGUGAGGGUCAUAGGAAAGAUGUUUCGCNNNNNNNNNNNNNNNNNNNNNNNNNNNNNNNNNNNNNNNNNNNNNNNNNNNNNNNNNNNNNNNNNNNNNNNNNNNNNNNNNNNNNNNNNNNNNNNNNNNNNNNNNNNNNNNNNNNNNNNNNNNNNNNNNNNNNNNNNNNNNNNNNNNNNNNNNNNNNNNNNNNNNNNNNNNNNNNNNNNNNNNNNNNNNNNNNNNNNNNNNNNNNNNNNNNNNNNNNNNNNNNNNNNNNNNNNNNNNNNNNNNNNNNNNNNNNNNNNNNNNNNNNNNNNNNNNNNNNNNNNNNNNNNNNNNNNNNNNNNNNNNNNNNNNNNNNNNNNNNNNNNNNNNNNNNNNNNNNNNNNNNNNNNNNNNNNNNNNNNNNNNNNNNNNNNNNNNNNNNNNNNNNNNNNNNNNNNNNNNNNNNNNNNNNNNNNNNNNNNNNNNNNNNNNNNNNNNNNNNNNNNNNNNNNNNNNNNNNNNNNNNNNNNNNNNNNNNNNNNNNNNNNNNNNNNNNNNNNNNNGACCAAUAUUUCUGUGACAUCUGCUCAACAAACAUGGACGGAAACCGUGCUUUGUAUUGUUGUCAUGAUCAUGAAUGUCGUGAUUAUGCUGCCCACUGUAAAUGCUUAAGAAAAGAGGGGAUAAUCAUGAACGUCCUUGUCGAUGAUAAUGAUGAUGAUGCACCAUCCACAUCCAGAUGUCCCCCUGCUAAUGAGACCACCGCUGAUGAUAAACCCUUGCAGAUCGAGCACUUCAGUCAUCCACACAUGUUAACCCUCAUCGAUAGCCAAGAGGUGGCUAGACAAGACGACCAAGAUGAAGGAAUUACUUGUAACGGUUGCACGCUACCCAUCAUGAGGGGUGAGUCUUAUAGGUCAUGCACAGAACAAGCAAUAGAAAAGCCAUGUAAUUUCUCUCUCUCCACAUAAAUUGUGCUAAAUUACCCCGAAAGAGGCUUCUCCCACUUCACGAACACGAGCUCACACUCCUUCCAACAGCAUCUUCUGUCGGUGACGUUUUUGAGUGUGACAUGUGCAAGUCCUUGAGCCAAGGUUUCUCAUUCCAUUGUGAAGAUAGCGACUUCAAACUAGACCUCUAUUGCAAUAUUCUUUAUGAGCGUAAGCCUCUCCGUUGUGAUGCUCAUGUUCACACACACUCCAGUUCAGCACAGAGCUCGUGUCCUGCAGCAGUUAUGGUACUCGUGAAAGGAUUUCUGCUUCAGAUGUGGCCGUAAGAGAUGCGACUUCCAGCUGUGUAUUCUGUGUGUUAAAUUACCUCUUUACGGUUAGGUACAAUUACGACGAUCAUCCUCUCAAACUCACUUAUGCUAGUGUUAAAAAAUGAGCUCGAUGAGUACUAUUGUGACAUAUGCGAAGGAAAACGAGAUCCAAAACAUUGGUUCUACUCCUGCCUGGAUUGUGACUUUGAAUGUCAUACUCAUUGCAUUAGAGGGAGGUAUCCGCAAGUCAAGUUAGGGGGCUCUUACAAGCAUCAUGAUCACCAGCACGACGUCGCCCUUGUUUAUAAGAGAAAAGGCAAGAUUCCUAAUGAUAAGAGAGAGCGCUUACUUCCUUGUUCCAAGUGUUCUAUGAUUUGCAAAGGAUUGGUUUGUGAAUGUUUGGUGUGUGGUAUUAAUAUGCACCUAAGGCAUAUAAGAAAGCAAAAGCAUAUAAAAUUUCUAUAUUUUGAAAUCUUGCUUUUCAUUGUUUGCGAUAGGCCUGGCAAUCGGGUCGUGUCAGUCGUGUUCGUGUCGUUUUCGUGUAACACCUGUUAGCUUAACGGGUCGUGUCGUGUCACACCCGUUAUCUUAACGGGUCCUUAACAGGUCGGGUCACUUUACCCGUUGGGUAAAGUGACCCGACCCGACCCGUUAUGACCCGUUAUGACCCGUUAAGAAAAAUAUUUUUUUUUUCUUAAACUUGCACAUACUACAUAUUGUCACAUAAAUAUUACUUUAAAACAUUAAAACGCAUUUGUUGUUUAAAUACUACAUCAACACUCGAAAAUAAGAGUAAUAAAAAAAAUCCACACAUUACUAAUCUAUUACAAAUAUUAAAUAUGCAAGGAUAUGCAAAAUGAAAGCGUUUUUGUUUUCAAGGUUGUGAAGUCUUUUUCAAAAGUUUAAACCUUGUCAAUGGAACUCAAAGCUUGCAUGCUAUUCAUUUUACAAAAUCCUCAAUUUACGUCGAUCAUCAUGAGGAAGUUGCAUUGGAACUUUGGCUUGAUCUAUUGCCUUCUUCAAGAGUUAUGUUUGAUAAUGUUUUCAGUAAGAUUUUCCAUGUCAGAACUCUCUUCCGCAUAAACUAAAUAUAGAAAAACCAAACAUUAAAAAUCAUUCAAAUUAUAAGAAAUUUACCAAAAUAAUUAUGAAAAGAAAUAAAACAAUAGUACUAUACCAUAUAAAAAUAUAUUACCUCCUUUUCCAAAUAGCCAAUCUCGUGUGCACAACAAAGCUUGAACUGUUUCUGGUAACAAUGAACUACGAUACUGAUCUAGUACUCUACCCCCAAUACUAAAUGCAGAUUCUGAUGCAACAGUUGAAAUGGGAAUUGUUAACACAUCUCGUGCUAACUGAGAAAGUAUCGGAUAAUGAAAACGCUCCAUUUGCCACCAAGAAAGAACAUCUAUGUCUACUUUUUCUAUCUAUUCUUUUAUCCUCCAAAUACUUCUGCAAUUCAGUUUUUUCAAUCGAACUUGAACCAUCGUAAUUAUUAUCAAAAUCCUACAUCAUAAAAAAUCAUGCAUCAUGUUAAUUUCAAAUAUAAUAUCAACACUUUUUAUACUACUACUACAAUCUACAAAUAUAUAAAGUAAAUAAAAAUAAACUUAGGUUACCUCAAAGAGAACAUCUACAGAUUCUGUUUGAUGAUUAGGCACUGAAUUCCUUGGAGUAUUUGAAUUAUCAAGAUGUGAAAGUUUUUCCAAGUACACACCAAAAAGAACAUUCAAUUUGUCAUUCACCUUUGUAAAUUCGACCGAAUUCACACCAUGAAGCUUUGUGUAAGCCCAAUCCACAAAAUUCAAUUUAUAACGAGGGUCUAAGAUGAUUGCAAUUGCCAAAAUCAAACUAUACUCUGACCAAUACUUCUCAAACUUCAUGUACAUGUAAGUCGCCAUCUUAUUCAUGAAACUUUCAGAGGCAUCCAUGGCUGCCUUAAUUUGAAGUUGGAUUACGAACACCUUAGGGAAGAACAAAUUUGAUGUAGGGUACUUUGUCCCAGAGAAUAAGCACGUAACCUCAUAAAAGUACUCCAAAAACUUGGAAAUCUUCAUUAUUUUAUCCCACUCUUCAGAAGAAGGACAAGUAUUAAAAUUGGAAUCACUCAACCCUAAAUGAAUCAAAGCAUAUCGAUAGAAAAUUGCAUUAUCUAGCAUAAUGUAGGUUGAGUUCCAUCUAGUAGGGACAUCUUGUCUCAAACCUCUCCUACUAUCCAAUAUCCCCACUUGUCUAACACAUUCAUAAAACUUUAGUUUUCUAGCCUCAGAGCCCUUUAUAUACUUGACGCAUUCACGAAUCUUUAUCACCGAAGAAUCAAUUUCUUUAAGUCCAUCUUGAACUAUCAAAUUCAAGACAUGAGCACAACAACGCACAUGAAAGAAGUCACCAUUCAUCACGAGAAGACUUCUGAGAUUCAAUUGAUUCUUCAAAAUGCUAACAAAAGAAAUAUUUGAAGAAACAUUAUCCAAAGUAAUAGAAAAUAACUUCUUCUCAAUUCCCCACUCAGUCACCAAUGCAUUAAUUUUCUCAGAUAAUGCAACACCAGUAUGAGGAGGAGGCAUGUGACAAAAACUUAAAAUUCUCUUAUGCAAUUUCCAAUCUUUGUCUACAAAGUGAGCAGUAAGAGCAAGAUACCCAUCAGUGCAUUGCGAGGUCCAUAAGUCUGAUGUCAAACAAAUUCUACCUUCAACCGAGUCUAGCAAAUUAUGAAGCCUUUGUUUUUCAUUUUUGAACAUCCUUAACACACAGGCUUUAAUUGUAUUUCUACACGGUAACUUAAUAUCAGGAGAUAUAUAUGCAAACAAAGCCCUAAUUCCCUCAUAUUCAGAAAAACUAAAAGGAAGAUUAUGCUUGAUGAUGGCCUCUACCAAUAAACCACGAAAUACCACCGGAUCAAAGUUUUGGGAACAGAAUUCAGACACCGACAAUCCAACAGUCUGUCCAGGGCAUGUUUUCAAAUGUCUAUUCAUAUUACCCGUCCCAUGAUGACUAUCAUCUAUUACCAGUUUCUUACAAUCUUUACAUUGAGCACGACUUUUACCAUCUUCAAAAAUAGUAGUCAAUUUGUUGAAAGUUUUCCAAACAGGAGACCUGAGUGUUCGCUUACCUAAUUUGAUCACUCUAGCCUUUUUCUUUGCCGGACUUGUAUUUGUAUCUUCCAUAUUUUCACUUCCAUGAUCAGGUUGUAUUCCCAUUGUCACUUCCACUGAUCCUCCAUCACUAAGGUUCGUAAAAUCUUGCUCUACAACAUCCAUUGCUUCAAGAAAGAAAAACAAAACUAUAAAAUCUUGCUCAUACCAAUUUCAUACCAUAUCUCUAUUUCAAAUUCACUUAUCCAUUUCAAUUUCAAAUAGAUCAGCACAUAGAUCAACAAAUAGAUCAUCAUUUCAUUUCAAUUUCAAUUUCAAAUUCAUACAUCCAUUUCAAAUUCAUACAUCAACAAAUAAUACUAUUUUUGUUUUUGCAUUAAUCCAUAUAAUAUAAGGCAUAACGGAUGCAAAGUUAACCAAAAAAUGAUGAAUAGCUAGCCACUGUGAAAAUGAUGCAAAGUUAACUAUAAGAUAAUGAUUAGGGUUAUCCCCAUCAACUCAACACCUCUCCAUUUCUUUCCAAUAAUUCAUCCAAUUCAGAAACCCUCCUCACCAACCCUUCUAUUUCUAUACAAAAAGAUGAAUUGUUAACCAUUGCGAAAACAUGUGGUUAUCAGAUAACAAUACGGGUGUUGGACAAAGGGCAUGAACUUCAAAGCUUUCCCCAUCAUAGCCUCAUUUAGAUGUGUUUGAUAUAUAUGGUUCUGUCUUUUUAACACACAUUUAGAAACCUUAAUUUCAGAAAAUCGUAAUUCCUGUGAUUAUUAUUUAUAUCAAUUAGCAAAUACCAAAUAGAUCAGCAAAUUCAGCACAACAAACUGAGAGCAAAGAAAUCAUGAAGCAAAUUAACCUUCUCCAAAAGCCCUAAUUUAGAAACCCUAAUUUCAAAAAUUCAUAAUUCCAAAAGUCCUAAUUCAGAAACCCUUGAGUUCAUUGUAGGAAUUUUUUACCUUGUGCAGUGAGGUGAGGAGUGCGGACUGAGAUCGAGAGCUCGAUUCAGGAGCCGUAUUUGGGUGGUACUGGUAUGGAGUCCGGAGUCUGGAAUCUGGACAGUAUGUGAACCAGUGAAGUCGCGAUUUAGGUGAUGACUGAGGACUGACAGAGUGACUGAGUGAGGGGUGACGGUCUGGGUGAGGUCGAGGACGAUGAGGAGGGUGAUCCGGUGAGGUCACUGAGACUGAGGUGAGGGUGACUCGGUGACGGUGAGGCGCCGCGUGAGGUCGAUCGAGAGAGAGACAGAAAGAAUGAUUUGAGUUUCUGAUUUGAGAAAGAAUAGAAGGAUAGCCUACAAUGGACGGCUGAGAUUAAAUCUCAGCCGAUCCAAUGGUCAUCAAUUUUUUAAAAUUUAAUUUAAUAUAUAUAUAUAUAUAUAAUUAUUAUAGUUUUUAGGGGUAUAAAAUUUUGUGGCAUCCAUCUACUAGUGUAAAUAUUUUAAAUUGAAGAUCGAAUUCAUUCAUUGUAUUCAUAUAGGGUCAAGGAGUGUAGUUGUAAAAAAUCAUCAAAAUCGGAGUUAAAAAUAACCGUUAAAUCGUGAUUUUUUGUUUAUAACCGUCGAAACGUUUUGUCUUGUUCCUUGAUCUCUGAAUGUUUUUUUUUUGCAAUUUUUGGCGUACUUGAUCUCAAAGUAUAUACAAACAUGUUUUGACGGUUGGAUCGUUGAAAUUAGUUUCGUAGAAUAUGUAUCCCAUCAAAACAAUAGAUUCACUAACACUUAAGAGUUUAUUCAUACUUUCAUCAAGUAUAACAUAAGAUUUUUGUGGUAUCCACUAGUGUAAAUAUUUUAAAUUGAAGAUCGAAUUCAUUCAUUAUAUUCAUAUAGGGUCAAGGAGUGUAGUUGUAAAAAAUCAUCAAAAUCGGAGUUAAAAUAACCGUUAAAUCGUGAUUUUUUUGUUUAUAACCGUCGAAACGUUUUGUCUUGUUCCUUGAUCUCUGAAUGUUUUUUUUUUGCAAUUUUUGGCGUACUUGAUCUCAAAGUAUAUACAAACAUGUUUGACGGUUGGAUUGUUGAAAUUAGUUUCGUAGAAUACGUAUCCCAUCAAAACAAUAGAUUUACUAACACUUAAGAGUUUAUUCAUACUUUCAUCAAGUAUAACAUAAGAUUUUGUGGUAUACACUAGUGUAAAUAUUUUAAAUUGAAGAUCGAAUUCAUUCAUUGUAUUCAUAUAGGGUCAAGGUGUGUAGUUGUAAAAAAUCAUCAAAAUCAGAGUUAAAAUAACCGUUAAAUCGUGAUUUUUUGUUUAUAAUCGUCGAAAAGUUUUGUCUUGUUACAUGAUCUCUGAAUGUUUGUUUUUUGUAAUUUUUGGCGUAUGAGAUCUCGAAGUAUAUACAAACAUGUUUGACGGUUGGAUCGUUGAAAUUAGUUUCGUAGAAUAUGUAUCCCAUCAAAACAAUAGAUUCACUAACACUUAAGAGUUUAUUCAUACUUUCAUCAAAUAUAACAUAAGAUUUUGCGGUAUCCACUAGUGUAAAUAUUUUAAAUUGAAGAUCAAAUUCAUUCAUUGUAUUCAUAUAGGGUCAAGGAGUGUAGUUGUAAAAAAAUCAUCAAAAUCGGAGUUAAAAUAACCGUUAAAUCGUGAUUUUUUUGUUUAUAACCGUCAAAACGUUUUGUCUUGUUCCUUGAUCUCUGAAUGUUUUUUUUUUUGCAAUUUUUGGCGUACUUGAUCUCAAAGUAUAUACAAACAUGUUUGACGGUUGGAUCGUUGAAAUUAGUUUCGUAUAAUUCGUAUCCCAAGAAGUUCAAUGGUGUGUGUGUUACGUAUAUAUAUAUAUGUUAAGUAGAUUUAAAUCUAUUUAUUUUGUAUGUAUAAUUAUUAUAGUUUUUAGGGGUAUAAAAUUUAAUAUAUAUAUAUAAUUAUUAUAGUUAAUAUUUUGGGGGUAUAAUUAUUAUAGUAUAUAUAAAAUUAUAAUUAUUAUAAUUAUUAUAGCUAAUCUAAUAUAUAUAUUUUGGGGGUAUAAUUAUUAUAGUAUAUAUAAUUAUUAUAAUUAUUAUAGUUAAUCUAAUAUAUAUAUAUAUAUAUAUAAUUAUUAUAGUUCUUAGGGUAUAAAAUUGUUAAAUUAAUAUAUAUAAUUAUUAUAGUAUUUUUUAGGGUUAUAAAAUUAUUAAAUUAAUAUUCUGCUUAUCGUGUAUCGUGUUACUCACGUGUAUACCCGAACCAACCCGUUAUCUUAACAGGUGCUUAUCGGGUUACCCGAUAACGACCCGUUUCGUUAUCGUGUCGACUCGAACACCUGUUAAUUUCGUGUCGUGUCGUGUCGGAUUAUCGGGUCGUGUCAGGAAUUGCCAGGCCUAGUUUGCGAGCAUAUCAGAAUGUGUGUAAGCGUGUGCUCGUGCGCGUGUUUGUGAAUAUGACCACUCUUUAUCAAGGACCAUAAACCACGGCGGAAGAAAACAAACAAUUGUCUAAACAACCUACAUUUGUUUUGCUGUGAUAAGUAAAAAGGACAACAGCAUAUAUUCACAGAGAUGACUGUUAUCAAGCUUAAAGGGAACGACAUCCAUGACUCAGCACGGGAACACAUAAUUACAUAGACUUAAUAAAAUUAAAAUAAAAUCUGUUAACCCUUAAACUCACCUGAUUUUCCUUUGUGGAGUAUUUGAGUAUCCUCAGCUAUCAAUUGCGACAAAGUGUCAACACUAACCUUCUGCCAACAUGUGCAUAAGAAGUCAGAGUAAGACAUUAUUCAUUUGCUGUGAGAGAGAGAGAGAGAGAGAGAGAGAGAGAGAGAGUUCAGAUGAUACCAUGGAAAACCAUUACAUAGGCCACAUCUCUAGUUCACAUAUCUAAAUUGUGAAUUCAUUGAAUGAUGAAUGAUGUUGUAUAUGAAGCUACAAAUAUACGACAAGCAAUAAUGAUAGAUAAAUUCAUCUAUAUUGGUUUAUUAAAGUUGGUCAAACAUACCUUUUGUUUUGAUCGGGAUUUAGUUUGGUAGUUUCAUUCUAAUUUCCAUAGUUUAUAAUAGUUAACCAACUAAAAGUGCUUUCUUUUGAUUACUAUCUAAUAUAUUUUGGCCAGUUGGCAAUCCUACUAGAUUUACUUAGGCGCACAUCAAAAAUGUGUAUUAUACAUGUACAUAAGAUAUAAUGCUAAAUAUCUUUUUAUAGUUGUCUCAUAUUACAUAAAAAGAGUUAAAGUACUCUCUCUCUCUUUGCUUGAAAACUAUGUAUCCAUUUCAUCAUGCAUUUUUUGGUGAAGCUACUAUGUUUUUGUAAUUUUUUUUUAUAUUGAGGAGGAAUAGAGGCUAAAGUACCUCCAAUUUGUUCAAGAGGCUUUAGCUCAUGCCACAGUUUGCUUCACAUACCUCUAUUGUUAGCUUCCAUACAAUAUGUUGUGUGUUUCGUUGCUGCAAGUUUGUAAUUUUACUUGCUACUUGAUUAUAAAAAUGUAAAACAAAAUCCGUCUGUGAUUACAAAUUUGUAUUCAAGUUUAGACGUUUUUCUAGUGUAAGACAUAUGUUGCAUAGGCAUGUAAAUGGUACAAAUUGUUUCUGGUUUUGGACAAUAAGCUUUUGAGUUUUACUAUCCUUGCAAGAGGACUGUGACUCAAGCGAACAAAUUUAGUGUUUGGGGAAUAGAGUUUGGUUCUCUUUAAUACAUAAUUUAACAAAGGCCUACAAAUUUUCCUUGAAGGAAUAUGCAAAUGUGUUCUCCGCAACUUGGCCUGCAGUUUAUGUGAAGGGGCAUUAAUGUGUGUUAUUUGCUUUCGUAAAAUGUGUGUUAUCUGCAUUGGUGCAUUUGAGGGUGUGAUUACCUUCCUACCAAAUGCGAUGGCAAGUGCCUUCGCCCAUAAGCGGUAGGUCUCGGGUUCGAGACUUGGGAGUAGCCUCUCCAUAAAUGGGGGUAAGGCUAGCCGACAUUCACCUCUCCCAGACCCUGCGUAAAGCGGGAGCCUUGUGCACUGGGUACGACAUUUUUUUAUUGUGACUAAUACAUUCAAUGCCCGUAACGAAGUGCGAACAGAUUUUCUAGUAUGUUCUAAUGUAUAGAACAAAAUUCAUGUCCUCAGAUUAAUUUUUUGAAAAUAUAUAUUACAGUAAACAGUGAAGCCAUGUCUUGACUAGUAUAUAUCAAACACGCUCACGGUUUGCAAAAGACAGACCGUUUGACCAUUUCAUAUGAUUAUUCAAAUUAGUCACUUUUACUUAACUUGUGCACGUACAAGAUUAUGGUUCGGUUCUUUGCACCAGAAGAAACCAAUGCAAACCAGAGCAGAAAAGCAUGAAAACACAUAAUUACUUUAUGUGCAGAACGUACCCAGAUGUAUUUCUACCAAAAGUAAAAUUCAUAAAUAACUUAGUUGACAUACAAGAUCUACCCCAAUCAAACAAACAGUUGUUCAUGCCAAGCAUUGAAACCUUUUUGUAUGAAUGAUUUGAUUCCAAAUUUCAACCAAAAGUUAUAACUGCACCACCGCGCGCACGCCACACUGAAAAGGUAUAUACGGCCGGGCAGUGUAGAAAAUCUCAUCUCAAUGUGAUAAAACCUUAACAGUUAAUAAGUUCCAAACCAUUUGACAUCAUCAAUAUCUCAUAUUAGAGAAACGCCCUUCUUCCAAAUGAUGGCCAGAUUUGUCAUCUUAUGAUGUCAAUUUUUCUUCUCUUUGAUUUUUUCACAUAAUUUUCUAAUUGUCCCAUAAAAAAUUUGUCUUUAGAUUGUUAGAGUAAUAUUUGAAAAUACGAAAAUAAUACAAGAAUUUCAAUGAUAAUAAUCAUAAUGAAAAUUGUUGAUGCACAAAAUCAGUAGGGACUUUGGUACAACAGAAAAUGUUAAGUUUGUGACAUUCGCUAGAUUGAUCCGGUCGCUAGUGUGGAUAAGUAUGUAAAUGGAUAGAGACAGGGAAGCAAACACAAGAUGUAAGUGGUUCACCUAGAUUGGCUACGUCCACGGAGUAGAAGAGUUCUCAUUAAUUGUGAAGGGUUUACACAAGUACAUAGGUUCAAGCUCUCAUUUAGUGAGUACAAGUGAAUGAUUUAGUACAAAUGACAUUCGGAAAUAUUGUGGGAGAAUGAUCUCCUUUUAUAGAAGAGAGUUUUUAGUUUUGUUUUGACAUUGACACGUGUUGUGUUGUGAUUGGCUUUUGAUGUUGACACAUGUCGCGCUAUGAUUGGCUUCUUGAUGUCGACACGUGUCGCGCUGUGAUUGGCCUCUUAGUUGAAAGGAAAACUCUUAUGGGUCCUUGAUGGUAUAAACGUUGACCAGUGCUCGGUAGUUUCGAGAUUGGUCAAGUAUGGUACAAACAAAAAUAACAACAUAAAUUGUAUACAAGAUUAAUAUAAACAACAGAGAAAGGAAGAAAUGCUGACAAACUUGGAGAUUGAGACUUGCAUGAAUGCAAUGUCCUAAAGACAGAAUUUCGCCCAUACUCGUAGUUCGGUAGGCGUUUGUCUCCCAGAAUUUAACAAUAUAUAAUCCAAAGUUGAAGCACUUUAAAAUCUUUGAACCCUGGUGGAAAUAGAGAGGGGAAACCCCCCGUUUCUCAAGAGUAAGAAUCUAUUUUGUUUUUGUAUGCAUUAGACAGGUGGGAUGCUUGAGUUUAUAGAAUUUGAGCCAUCCAUUUUGAAACAUUUGAUUGUUGAUUAAAGUUCCAAUUAACCGAUGCAACUCAUGAAUUUGAAUUCAAUUAUAACACUUGACUCUUUAUUUUCAUUAAAAAAUUAAAUAAAUAUUAUAAAUUAAUUUCCAACGAACAAUAAGUUUGUUAGUAUUUCUUACUUUCUCUGUUGUUUAUAUUAAUCUUGUAUACAAUUUAAAUUUAUGUUGUAAUUUUCAUUAUGAUUAUUAUCAUUAAAAUUCUUGUAUUAUUUUCAUAUUUUUUUAAUAUUGCUCCAACACUGCAUAGUAUAAUCUCUGUAAAAUAACCUUAUAAAUGAAGUUAAAUAUUUUGUCACAAGAAAAGGAAAAUUCAAUGAUCUAAACCAGAAUUAUUAAAGGUUAACAAAUUAUUAGAAUCUUUUAUUUUUCGUGAAAUGCAAGCUAUCAAAUUAUACAUGACGAGAUAAAGAAAUAAACAUGGCCUAGUCAUCAAGGAUUCUUAGUGUAAUACCCUGAAAAUUUAAAAUACAUGGUUAUGUGGAGUAAAUCGAGAAUAAAUGAUUUAUGGUUAUGAAAAAUUUAAUUAAGAACUUUUAAAGUUUGUUUUCAGAAAUUAUUAUAAUUUACAACGUAAAAUUUAUUGAUAAGUGAAAAGAUCAAAAUGCCCGUAAGGAGAUGUGUCCUUUCGUCGUCGCACGACAUAUAAUUUGUAUAUUGAAUAAUGUUCGUUGGGCUUAAUCGGAACGACGAAGAAGUGCGGAUUUUUUAUCUUUUAGGUGAUGGGCAAUAUAAGUAAAUUGGGAAAAAAAAACAGGAGAUUGUUCUAGAAGGGAGGAGACCAUUUUCUUCUUCCGUGGCCGGGGGGGGGUUGGAUGAUCGAAGGAAAAAAAAGGGAGGGGUUGUUCUUGUUUCCGUUUUGGCUCUCCCCUAAACACAAAUUUUAUAACCUUUCUGUUUCUCUUAAUUAAUCUCCGAUUUUUGACAACUUAACUUCUUCUCAAGUCCUCGUCGAGCCCUACGUUUGUAACCCACCAAUCCGAUUUUGCCAGAAAUCACCAAACAAGGCAGAAGUUGUAGCUUUGUUUACAGGGACUGACUAAUCAGUGUCUCCUACAACUGUGCCGCCGCCUUUUUUCUAAAAUCUUUCAAAUGGGUGCUUGGAAAAGAUAACCCAAAACUAUAGAAGAAUCUGCAUGCCACAUGAGUAUAACACUUAUUGCCGUCUAAGUUAAUGUCUCCAUUUGCAGUUGGCAAGGAAUCCAGAGAAGGUAAAAUUGCAAUGAGCAUCAAAAAAUUCAGGUGCAAAUCUAAAGUUCCUGUCUUAGGCUUUGUUUUAUGAAUCGAUUUAAGUAUUUUAAAUAAUAAGAUGCGUGACAAAGUAAUUGCAACCAAUCCUUGACCCUUUCCUCAAUAGAUUAAGUAUGAUUAUUAUAUUAUUAUUAGCUUAACCUUCUAAACCUUUUAUGUAACUCUCGUAAAGCUUUUGAUUGUUGCUCUAAUAAAAAAAAAAGAGUUGAAAGUCUGAACGAUUUAACCUUUGUCUUUUUUUUUUUUAAAUUAAAAAAAGUUUGAUUGCCUAAAUAAUUUGGAGAAGGAUACUAAAUGUUUUUAAAUUAAAUUAUUUAUUUUUAUUGCAAAAAAAAAAAAAGAACAAAUUCAAAGUUCCAUAACUAUAAAUCCAAAUUUAUGGCAAAAAACUAAGUUGUAAUUCAAAAUAAAUGAAUUUGAUAUUGGUUUUUAAGUUUCUUUUAAAUAAUGAAAUACAAACCCUAUCGACUGAUACGGGCGAAAUUUUUUGUGACGGUAACCAAGUCUUGUGGUGAUGUUUAAAACUUAUUUCAGACCAAACUUUCCUCUAGGCCAAUGAAAAAGAAAUAUUGCUUUUCAACAAAAAAAAACCCGUUUUUUAAGAAAAAAAUUCUUUGGGCAUUUGAGUUUUUUUUUUCAAAUUUUAAAAUCAAUUUCACAACAUUCUGGGUUUAAGCCUUUUCGAAAAGAAAGGUAUGACCAGAUUAAACAUUCAAACUUGCAUUUGAAAAAGAAAAUGAAUCUGACUGGUGAAACUUUCUCUCCCCAUCUUUUUCCUCUUUAAACGUCUCCUUUUUCUCCGAACAUGUUGCUUCCACCCCACAUAUUUGCAUUGCUUUGGUUUCCCAUCACCCACUUUUAACCUCUCCAAACUAUCUACUUCGUCCCACACAAGCACACUCCCCCACCACGAACAUUCCUUCUACUUUUCAAGGUCAUAGUUUAAUGAUGGCCCACGAGUUAAAACUUUUAGCCGUACAUAUGGCCACGGAAACCAACCGCGAGUCAAGCUUGGUUCGAUUUUCCCCCGCCCCUUUUCUGUGGAAAAACGAAACAACGGCAACGAAAAGCAUAAGACUUGGUAUUGAGGAAGUUAAGAAGAUUUGAAAAUUGUGCAUAAAACCGGCCAAAACCCAAUUCCGGCAAGUUUUUCGGAACUCCGGCGAGCCUUUCUGGCCAAACGGCAAACAACCGAGGCUCGAGACCACCACCAUUGGACUCGCCUCGAGUUUGAGAGCAAAGCCCAGUAUUCCAAUCGAAGGUCAAUGCACGCACGAUGGCGAACGGUGAAGAAUUCCGACGAAUUCUGCAGGAACUGGUGAGUUUUAUGCAACUGAGCUCGACUAGGCGGUUCAGUUGCCCGCUUGACGAGGCUUACGACUCCGGCGUCGAGGCAUAUUGGUAUCUCCGAAUCCUCCCUACGAACUUUUUCUCCUUUCUCUUUGUAAUUGAACUUUUAAAUAAUAUUUCUUCAUGUUGUAUUCUUGAUUCGUAUGAUUCUUAUUUUUUUAAUAUUUUAAAAACAUAUUUUAUUUAUUAUUAAUUUAUCGAUGCAAGUUUGCAUCCAUGUAGAUUUUAGUUGUUAUCAUAUUAGUUGGUAAUAUCUACUGAAUUAAGUAGUACUUCAUGCAUUAGAUAAAGAGAUGGAUCCGAGAAUUCACGAACAUUCAUUGACUUUCAAGGAAGAGAAGGAGAAUGAUGGUCCACCGCAGUUCUGUAAGGGUGCGUUUGGUACGUGGGAUGGGACGGAACAGAGUGGGACGGAACCGUUCCGUCCCACGUUUGGUGCCUUAAAAUUGUGUGGAACACGCGUCCCACGGAACGAAAAAGGGUCAGAUUUUGGUUCCCCCUCCCCCCCCUGGAACAGGUUUUUCCAUCCCGUGGGACACAAUUUUUUUUUUUUUGGACAACAAUACCCUUUUAUUUUUUUUCAUUAAUUACAUUGUCUACCUCCCUUCUCUCCCGUAACCUCCCUCUGUUCUACCACAAAUCCAGUAACCCAAUCCCUUCUUUCCCGUAACCUCCCUCUUCAUCCACCACAAACCCAGUAACCCAAUCCCAGCAAACCCAUCCGACGACGACGACGUCACCACCGUCACCAGCAAACCCCUCUUCUUCUCCGGCGUCGUCACCCGUCACCAGCAAACCCUCUUCUUCUCCGGCGCCGUCACCAUGGAGCCGUCACCAGCAACCCCUCUUCUUCUCCGGCGCCGUCACCAUAGCCAGGCCGACGACGACGACGACGAUGCACGAAGGAUGAUGACGACGCUGCAGGGAAGACGCUGCAGGCCGCGACGACGACGACGACGGACGGAUGACGACGCUGCAGGGAAGACGAUGACGACGCUGCAGGGAAGACGAUGACGAUGCUGCAGGGAGGACGAUGACGAAGCUGCAGAAAUUGAUUGAAAUGAAUUUUGGGAUUUUUCUGUGUUUGAUUUUGGGAUUUUUCUGUUUUUUUCUUCUUGUAAUUGUUUGCUGGUGACGAGAUCUGAAAUUGAUUGGAGGGUUUGCUGGUGACGAGAUCUGAAACUGGAUUGGUUGCCGAGAAAACGAAGGAAAACGAAAACUGGGGUCUGAUUGUUUGAGUUCAUACUCGCACUCAGCAAUUGUACAAACAAGGCUAAGUUAGUCAUUUAACACGAAAUCCAAACCGUUCCGUCCUACGCGUACCAAACAUAACACGAACCUCCGUUUCGUUCCGUCCCGUUCCGUCCCGUCCCGUUCCGUUCCGUCUGCGUACCAAACGCACCCUAAGGGAUGCCUGGAACCAUUGUUUGGGCCUCACUAUACUUGCGACACGUGCGAUAAGUGGUCCACUGGCUACAAGUUCAAUAUACAUAAAUCAUGUGCGGAGUUGCCCAUUGAGAUCCGCCACCCGAUCCACCCCAAUCACCCUCUUAUUCUCGAGGAAAACUACGGCUACACAUGUGGUGUCUGUAACUGUGACCAGUCACGUCGAAGUGCAUACAUUCUAUCUUACUGUUGUUCUGAAUGCGACUUCUCUAUACACGUCAAAUGUGCUUCCAAUUGGCAAAACGUCGGUCAUGAGCACAACUUCACCAUCCUCAUGCAGCCCAUUCAAUUCACUUGCGGUGUCUGUGGCCUAGUUGGUGAGUAUGACAAACAAAACUUCUACCUCUGCAACAUCUGCCAGCUCCUUGUCCAUGCCAAAUGCUCUUGGUUACCACUCCAAGUCAAAAUAGAACGGCACCAACAUCGCCUCAAGCUUACCUGGUGGUUCCAUGACAUGUACCCCAAAGACCAAGAUUUCUGUGACAUUUGCUCAGAAAAAAUGGACGGAAACCGUGCUAUUUAUUGUUGUCAUGAUCAUGAAUGUCGUGGUUAUACUGCCCACUGUAAAUGCAUAAGAAAAGAGGGGAAAUUCAAGAACAUCCUCGUCAAUGAUGAUGAUGAUGAUGAACCAUCCACAUCUAGACGUCCCCCAACCGAUGAGACCACCGCUGAUGAUAAACCCUUGCAGAUCGAGCACUUCAGUCAUCCACACAUGUUAACCCUCAUCGAUGGCCAAGAGGUGGCUAGACAAGACGGCCAAGAUGAAGGAAUUACUUGUAACGGUUGCACGCUACCCAUCAUGAGGGGUGAGUCUUAUAGGUCAUGCACAGAACAAGCAAUAGAAAAGCCAUGUAAUUUCUCUCUCCACAUAAAUUGUGCUAAAUUACCCCGAAAGAGGCUUCUCCCACUUCACGAACACGAGCUCACACUCCUUCCAACAGCAUCUUCUGUCGGUGGCGUUUUUGAGUGUGACAUGUGCGCGUCCUUGAGCCAAGGUUUCUCAUACCAUUGUCAAAGGUGCGACUACUACCUCGACAUUUAUUGCAGUAUUGUUUAUGAGCGUAGGACUCUCCGUUGUGAUGCUCAUGUUCACACCCUCCGGUUCAGCACAAAGCUCGUGUCCUGCAGAAGUUGUGGUACUCGUGAUAAGAAUUUCUGCUUCAGAUGUGGCAGUGAGAGAUGCGACUUCCAUCUGUGUAUUUCGUGUGUUAAAUUACCUCUUACAGUCAGGUACAAUUACGACGAUCAUCCUCUCAAACUCACUUAUGCUAGUGUUAAAAAUGACCUCGAUGAGUACUAUUGUGACAUAUGCGAAGGAAUACGAGAUCCAGAACAUUGGUUCUACUCCUGCCCGGAUUGUGACUUUGAAUGUCAUCCUGAUUGCAUUAGAGGGACGUAUCCGCAAGUCAAGUUAGGGGGCUCUUACAAGCAUCGUGAUCACCAGCACAACGUCGCCCUUGUUUAUAAGAGAAAAAGCGAGAUUCCUAAUGAUAAGAGAGAGCGCUUACUUCCUUGUUCCAACUCCAAGUGUCGUAUGAUGUGCCAAGGAUUGGUUUGUGAAUGUUUGGAGUGUGGUAUUAAUAUGCACCUAGGGCACCACUUGUGGGGCUCUCCGAUUCUCGACUAGAAUGUUUAGCCAUUAAGAGUUGCAACUCUACAAAGAGUGUUUCAUUCUCAAAUACUUUUGUUUUGUAUUAUGUAUUGGUUCAAUUUGUUUGAGUGUUACUAUAAGUUUGUAAACUUAUCAACUAAAUUAUUUGAUGUUAAUCUGCAAGCUCAUCAAUGCAAACAACUCUGUAUCGAACAACUUUUCUUCGUUUUCGAACUAUGGCAUCCAACUUGGUACAAGCGAGAGAUGCGUGCAAGUGUGCCCCUGAAGCGUGCUCGAACGAAAUAGAAGAGAGAUGAAUAAACUGGUUUUAAUCGUUAUAGUGAUAGAGAGAAAGCGUACAAAUCUUUAAAAUAGAAAAUGAAAUACAGGAUUCUAACAGAAGCGCUAGUAAAUUCAAACAAGUAGGACUUAAAAUGAGAAGGAAAUAUGGGAGAAGGCAACGUCAAGCCAUCUCAGGUUUGAUAAUUUCCAGAGUGCGAGUGAGGUAAACUGGACCUUUUGUCUUGACCAGCUCUGCGAGGCUGCGCCAGCGCUGGAAAUUUAUACGCAAUGACAGUUUAGCAGUCAUACAAGGGCACGCGCACAGAGCCUUGUCGACUGAAAUGGAAAUUGGCGCCCUUCAAUAAAGGGCACCAAUAUUCCUAGGACUAGUUAUGCUACUUGUAUCCCAAUUCGCAAGCUUAAACACAAAUGAAAUUGCUUUCGCCCUAAACAGGCCUAAUUUUCAUUUAUGUCCCAAACAGUAAAUCCCAACGCUAUGGUGCCAACAACCGUGGACAAGGUCAAGGCCAAGGAUGAAAUAAUAAAGUGCGUGCUCCAUAUCAAUAGAAAUGAGAUGCAUUUGGUCAAGUAGUGAAUUGACAUGAAAAAGUGCUUCUAAUUUUUAGAUGUGAAUCAUGUGAUAGUUCAAGUAAGAAGUAACUUUGUUCAUAUCAAUCUGAGACGCAUGUUCAGUUGCCUAACUUGGCUUGUUAACGAAUGACUUAAAUUAAACAUAACACAGUAAACAAACAAUACUGAGUACACCCUAUUCGUUGACUAAGCAUCAACAUUCGAGUCUUUGACAUAUCAUGUUUAACUCCUCUGCACACACAGAGUAUAACAUCAUCACCUAAAAUAUGAACCAGAAAGCAAAAGCAUAUAAAAUUUCUAUUUUGAAAAUCUUGCUUUUCAUUGUUUGCCAGCAUAUCAGAAUGUGUGUAAGCGUGUGCUUGCACGUGUGUUUGUGAAUAUGACCACUCUUUAUCAAGGACCAUAAAGCACGGAGGAAGAAAACAAACAAUUGUUUAAACAACCUUCAUUUUUUGCUGUGAUAAGUAAAAAGGACAACAGCAUAUAUUCACAGAGAUGACUGUUAUCAAGCUUAAAGGGAACGACAUCCAUGACUCAGCACGGGAACAUAUAAUUACAUAGACUUAAUAAAAUUAAAAUAGAAUCUGUUAACCCUUAAACUCACCUGAUUUUCCUCUGUGGAGUAUUUGAGUAUCCUCAGCUAUCAAUUGCGACAAAGUGUCAACAUUAACCUUCUGCCAACAUGUGCAUAAGAAGUCAGAGUAAGACGUUAUUCAUUUUCUGUGAGAGAGAGAAAGAGAGAGAGUUCAGCUGAUACCAUGGAAAACCAUUACAAAGGCCACAUCUCUAGUUCACAUGUUCAACGAACGUGCAACAAAAUCCAUUCAAAACCUAUAAUACAUCAUCACAAAGGACAUAUCUUUAUUCAAGACUUUGGGUCUACAGGUCUAUCUCCAGCUAUAAGUUUUCAGUUUUCGUUCUUUUGAGCAGCUAGCCUACAUCAAAGCACUAGUUCCUUUUCAGGCAAAAUAGGAAUAUACGCGGAAAAAUUAAGGCAUUUCGUCUGAUUUCAAAACAUGAAUAUGGUCAGAGGUAUUCUUUUUACUGCCAACAGAAAGCAUGUCUCUGGCUAGUAACAGAAGCAAAAAGCAUGGAACAAGCAAACAUUGUUAUUGGAACCUGACAAUCAAAAUCAUCCGCUAGCAAAGAAGGAACUCAGAAAUUAUAGAAAUGCAGAGCACAUAAUCAAGGCAGUAUAAGGAAUGAUAGGUGAAAUGAUAGGUGAACCAACCAAGGAGUUGAGCAAAGAAGGUGUGCAACCGUCACAGCAGCAGAGCUGAACUCAUUUGCACUCAACGUCAGCUUCAGCAGCUCGGUGAGGCUUAUUUUUCUGCCUACUCCCAUAUUGUCGGAAUCCAACAGACUUUUUUUGGGUUAUCAAGACUUGAUUUUGUUUCAAUCAUUUUAUCCUCUUUGACUGAUUUUAUAGUUUCUUUGACCUGAGCCGACCUCUUCCUUUUCCUUCCAUUCUCUAUGGCACAUUGGUCUUUCAUGUCUUUGCUCAAAACAUGACCUUUUGCAUCAUCGCCAUCUUCUGUCUUCAAAGCCACUUAUCCUUCUCCAAUAUCGUCCUUCAAUGUCUUUUGUGGCCUUCCUCUUCUCCUGCUUGGUAGAAUCCCUUCCUCUUCACUUCCGGUAUCCUCACGAGCAGCAAUAACGUUUUGUUUCUUUGCUUUUCCUCUACCUCUUCCCAUAGUAAAAAACCCCCGUGAAGAAAUUUCCCAACUAAAGGAAUUUUCGCAAACACAAACCAAUUAUUUCCAAAAACUACACUGUGUAGCUGAAUGAACUCCACCUAUCAACUUGCAAAGUUUGUUUGACAGAAUACAAAUGUAAGCUAUCUGCAAGCAGAAGACGACUGAAUCAAAUCCAUAUCAGCCGCCAAUGAUAAGGUUAAUUCCUAUCUCUCUUUUCUUUCUCUUGAAUUCAAUUAAGAAGAAAGAAAAUGUAGGUUCAAACCCUUGAUCUCGAUAAUUCCAAAUAUCCAAAACCAAAAGCGCAUCUUAAUCCUGCCAAGAUAUUCAAAUAUCAAACGAUUGUACUGGCUCAGUUUAAUCAUGUUAGUAUAGAGAAGUCGAAAGGGAAAUGAACGGAAAUACUUAAACAGUAACUAAGUACCACGAAACAGGUAAACCCGUUGUAAAAUUCAACCCGAACAACUUAUUUACUAGUAACUGCAGAUCAACAAGAAAGACCGAUCCUUUUUGGAUAAAAAACCAACAGCAAGGCAAACCAUUCUGGCUUCACUUUUAUAAAUCCAAAUCCUAAUCCCAACUUUGGCUGCUGCAAGAAAGAAUCCAUAGAUUUGAACCUUAAGACUAUGCUUUGAGUUUCAGAUUAUGAUGAACUAACUCCGCCCACUUCCAAAAUUCUCAGGUCCAAAACAAUUAGAAAUCCACGAUGACAAAAGCAAAUUAUUUUCUUUUCUCUACCACUUAUUUUCAUAUAACAAAACAAAAGCAUUCAUAUGAGAGAAUCAAUAUAUGUGCAACAUGGAGAAGAAAGAAGAAGGAAGGGCUGCUGACCUGAAAGCAAAUAUCCACUUCCUGCAUCUCAUUCAUAAAACCCAUUUCUCGGAUUCUGAUUAGACCAAUCAAGAAACCAACAAAAACCCAUCAACCCAGAAUAGCCUUGUUUUUUCUAUCACUGGUGAUGAAGUUAGCAGAACCCAAAUGAAAUUGAAAACUAUGACGUGAAUAAACAAGUAACGAAGACCCAGAUCAGAAAAAGAUGUGCUUAGAGAGAAAGGUUAGCAGAAAUAAUGGAGGCUGAAGAGAUUAAUCAAAAGCAAUAAGAUUUUGAGAGCUUUUAAAGGGAGGAAGAAGGCAGAGGGAAAUAACUUGAAUAGAGAAAAGGGAAGAGAAAGUAGUGAGAGUUUGGUUUUGUCGUGCUCUUCUUAGUUCCUGGUCCAAGUGUCUUUACCAAGGGUUUCUUGCUUUAGUACCAAAACAACACCACAACCCAAACACGAAUCAUCAAUUUCAAAAGAACCAGAUGAGCAAAAAGUGAGAAAAACUCAAGCUCAUCUUAACAAAAAUCAAAUGGAUAUUAUAUGUAAUCUGAAUAAUCUCUUCAUAUAUGUAAGUUGAACCACAGUGUAUGUUGAAAACAACUAAAACUAAUGAAAGUACGAAUUCAUAUACAAUCAAUCCGAAUAAAAUAAAGAAUACAUUUAAACUACUUGGGAGCUCUUCUCGGCUUGGAACAUCGAUUCAUUUAAACGGCGGUAGAUAAAAUGCGAAACCCAAGCCACCAACACAAGAAGCGCGGUAGCAGCCCCACCGACAAUCACAAGAUUAAGAACCGGGAGCGGUCGUGUGAUUUUUGAGCUUAGUGACAUUGCCUUCGAAGAACCUGCUGGUGAGGAUGGAGAAGGAGAGGGGCUUGGACUAAUGACUGGAUCUUCUAUUUCGAGGGCAUUGAUCUUGAUUUUAAUCUUUUGGCCGGCUUUGCAGUGACCAGGUUCACCACAAAUAACGUAGUAGGUGCCGGGUAUAUCAAAAGUUAAGGCGGUAAAGGUACCGUAAUGAGAUAGGGGAAGUGAUGGAAUGCAAUAGUCAUAAUCUGAUUGAGUGACUAUCAUCACAAAAUCGUUUUCAUGUUUGUAAUUAAAUAUGAACUCGUCACCCACAUAAAAAAAUUUCGAUGAAGCCCAUUCGUUGUAAUCAACCGCACCACUGUCGGUCCACCCUUCCAAAUCGCCACCAACCGUAUAAAUGGUAGCGGAACAAGCACCAAAGAAAAUCAUCAUGAUGAUGAAACUCACGACAGCAGUGUUUCUUAGAGCCAUGACUGAAACAGUAAAGAAAAAACAAGCAAGGAGUAUGCACGUAGACAAAUUUAGAUGAAAGGUAGUAAUGCCCGAGCAUGCGUAUAUAUAGGAAAGGUAUAGUUAGUGUCCGAAAUGGAAAAUGUUCCCCAAAUCCAGUUGGAAAACGAUUUAUAAAAUCAGACAAGUAGUAGGAAUUCUAUUUAGGAAUAAUAUUGCCCAAGCUUAAUUAAUAAUCGAAUUCCAAUUUGCUGCCGUUUUGUCGGCUGCUUUUGCUUCCAACUUCUGCUUGUUUCCAUGUAUGAUGAAACAUUUUAUUUUUAUUAUAAGUCACAGUGGAGAAGCGACAAUCGAACUCGGGUCUUCGGGUUGCAUGAUGCAAAUUUAGUGCAUAAAAGGAUUCCAAUUUCUUAUUAGCAUUUGGAAUCUUUGUUGCUGUUUUUAUGGCAUGGCCAGAGACAAGACUCAUUUACUUUGUGCCUGAUUGUCGAGAGAAGCAGCACUGCUUCGGUGUCACUGGCUCCCUCUUUGUGACGAGAGAUACAAAGAGCAGUAUUGACACCGGAUAGAAAAGCAUUUAUCCCACUAGCGAGGCCUCGACUGAGCAACUUUGAGCCGCCAACAAAACCAUGGUGGCAAUGGUCUUUAUUGUUAGAGUAUAUAUUCAAUGGUCCAUGAUUGUGACACUUGUCACAAUCUUGGUGUAUUGGUUAGUUAGUGACUAGUUUUGUAACUGCCUAUAUAAGGCAAGGUUGUUGUAUUACUUAGUAAGAAAGAAAUAUACUUUACAGAAAAUUCUCUUCUCUUCUUCUCCUUCCUCUCUCUCUACUUUCUCUCUCUAGUUCUUGCAUACUAUAGAAAGAUUACAAAAAGAUAUACAGUUCAACUCAUGAAGAUUAACAUGGUAUCACUAGCCAUUGUUGUUGACGCGUGAUCUUCGAUCCUUCUUGCUUCCGCUUCUUCCUCCUUCAUCUUCGGUAUCCUCGGAUUUUCUUAUCAGACUCAAUCUUCUUUGCUUUCUAGGGUUUUGUUGUCGAUUAUUCAUUGUGAUUGAUUUCUGGUUCGAUUUGUUGUGUGCGAUCUCUGCACAUUAAGUAUUUGUGAAAAUUUCUGACUAAAAUUGGGGUUGUGCUUCAAGAAUCUGCAAUCUUGCGUGAAAGAUGGUGACUACAUCUCAGCUACAGUUGCUUCAAUCUCCGGUUACGAACCUUAUUUCGUCGAUCUCGACCUCCGUUAACAUCAAGCUUGAUGACUCCAAUUAUCUUAAUUCGCAUUUUCAAAUGCAACUCUUGUUGGAAAGCAAUGGUAUUAUGGGAUUUUUGGAUGGCUCGAACCCUUGUCCGUCUCAAAAUCUCUCAUAAAUUGGUGGAUCUGGUAUUAAUCCCUCUGCCUCUUCUACUUCUACUGAGAAUGAUGCUUUUGUGAUUUGGAUAAUGCAUGAUAGGGCUAUAAUGCAAUUGAUUACUGUGACUUUAUCACUUGUGGCUAUGUCAUGUGCUAUUGGGAGUCAAAGCUCGAGAGAUCUUUGGAAUCGUUUAAAGGCGCAAUGUUCCACUGUAUCCAAAACAAGUAUAUUUCAGAUGAAGUCGAACUUGCAGACAAUUAAAAAGGGGUCUGAUUCCAUUUCUGUUUAUCUGCAAUGAAUUAAAUAAGCUAGGGAUUAUUUGUCAGCUACUGGAGUGUUCUUUCAAGAUGAGGAUAUUGUAAUACUAGCUCUUAAUGGUUUGCCCUCUGAAUACAAUACUUUUCGUUGUGUCAUCCAAGGUCGUGAAAGUGUCAUUUCCCUAAAAGACUUUCGAGCACAGUUACUUGCUGAAGAAGUCAUUGUUGACAAUCAUUCGAAUGCAUCUUUUAUGACUGCUAUGGUUGCUAAUUCUCAGCCUAAAAAUGCAUCAUCCUCAUCACAGUCGUUUGGCAAUACUCAUGGUCAAUCCCAAUUUGCCUUUGGAGGUUACAAAGCUUACAAUGGGAAUAAAAAUAAGGGCAAAGGCAAGUAUUAGGGACACAGAUUCUUCAAAUCCCAGACUUGUGUACUCAAAUCAGGCGCAUAUUUUGUCUACUCCUGCAUCAGGAGAUAUGUGGGGUCUUCAUCUACACCUAUGUUUCCUCCAUGUCAGUUAUGUAACAGUGAUGGUCACACUGCUCCAUUUUGUGGUGCAAAGCCUCCAGACAGGCAUGGCUGUCAAAUCUGUGGAAAAACAAAUCAUGUGACUUGGUUUUGUUUCUACAACGAUAAAAGGCCUAACUAGCUGUCCUCGUUCACCACAAUCAUAUGGGUUCCAAUUUGCACAUCCUAACCUUCACAUGUUGCCUCCUUCAUCUCAGUAUUCAUAUCAAGGGUUUCCACAACAACAUACACAUCAGCUACAGCAAUAUCCAAUGCAUGUUAUGCACACUGUGUUCAAUUCUACACCUCAAACUGCAACUCCAUCAGCACCUCCACAAGUUUGGUUGAUUGAUUUUAGAGCAACCAAUCAUAUGACUGCUAACAUGAGCAACUUAUCAUUGGCAUCACCCUAUCCUACUAGUGAGACCAUACAAACUGCCAAUGGUGAAGGUUUACAAGUCUCCCAUAUUGGGAAUUUUAUCAUUCAUACUCCAGCAAAACCAAUCAAAUUAAAUUAUGUGUUAUAUGUUCCCAAGUUAACACAAAAUUUAUUGUCAGUACAUAAGAUUUGCCUUGAUAAUAAUUGUUGGCUAAUCUUUGAUGCAUUUUGUUUUCGGAUGCAGGAUAAGGCCACAUGAAUGAUUCUCUACAAAGGGCUGUGUAGUAAUGGACAAUAUCCCAUUUAUUCCCUUUCCUAUACCAACUCCAGUACUUCACAAAGUCAACCAUCAGCAAAAGCUUUUCUGGGACAGCUUGUUAAAUCGCAGCUUUGGCAUCAUAGGUUAGGUCAUCCAACCAACCAUGUUGUUUCUCUUAUGUUAAAUAAAGCCAAUGUACCUAGUACCCCUUCUAAGUCAUCUGUUUUGUGCCAUCAUUGUCUUGAAGGCAAAUUUAGCAAAUUACCCCUUCCAACUCAUGUCAAUAAGUCUAUUAAGCCUUUUGAAAUUGUGCACAGUGACUUUUAGGGUCCUGCACCUUGUGUCUCUGUUGAUGGUCACAAAUAUUAUGUAAUCUUCAUUGAUGAAUAUAGCAGACAUUGUUGGCUUUUUCCAUUGAUAAACAAGUCUAAUAUGUACUCUACCUUUCUUGCAUUCUAUUUUUUUUGUACUUAAUCAAUUCUCUACUACGAUUAAGAUUUUACAAAGUAAUGGUGGGGGAGAGUAUAUGAGUCACAGGCUUCAAUCUUUUCUUCUGAACAAAGGUAUUGUUCAUCAUAAGUCCUGUCCAUACACACCUGAACAAAAUGGGUUAGUUGAACGCAAACAUAGGCAUAUUAUAGAAACCACUGUGACAUUAUUGCAAACUGCUAAACUGCCACAUCAAUUUUGGUCUUAUGCUUGUCAAACUGCUACCCAUCUUAUAAAUAGAAUGCCAACUGUUGUUCUUAAAAACAGGUCACCAUUUGAACUUUUAUUUGGCAGUGCUCCAUUAAUAUCACAUCUUCGAAUAUUUGGUUGUGUAUGUUUCCCUUUGUUAAAACCAUUCAACAGCACCAAACUUCAACCCAAAACCACAAGAUGUAUUUUUCUAGGAUAUGCUUCUAAGUAUAAGGGGUAUAUGUGUUAUGAUGUGCCUAAGAUAAGGAUUUACAUUUCUAGGCAUGUUAUUUUUUAUGAACACCAAUUUCCAUAUGCAGAUUUAAUGAUACAAUCCACUAGUACUAAAUCUAAUUCAUCAGUUCUCACUUCAUCCUCCAUUCCCAUAUCAGUGGUUAAUACAAACAAUGUCAUUGUGUCUCCAUCACCAAUAUCUUCUAAUACACCAGUAUCGGUACCACUUCAUUCAUUCAAUAUACCAGAUAUUCAUCCAAAUCCUUCACUUAAUCCUCAGUCCAUUACUAGUGCACCUGAAUUUUCCUCUCAGCUCCCUGUGGUACUUGAUCCAAAUACUAUAAUAUGUACUCAGAACACUGAGUUUCAUCCUGAUUCUCUGCAAGCUGUUUUGGAUAUUCCUUCAAUCAAUUUGCAUCCAAUGCAAACUCGAAGCAAAAGUGGUAUUUUUAAAAAGAAGGCUUUACUAGCAUCUAUUCAAGAUUCUGAGGGGAUUGAUUUGUCCACAAUUGAACCAAGCUCUUAUAAGUCUACUCUUAAAAGUCCUAUAUGGUUCAAAGCCAUGCAAGAAGAACUGGAUGCUCUCAAAGCUCAGGGUACUUGGACUCUGGUUUCUUUGCCAUCUACUAAAAAUCUUGUUGGCUGCAAGUGGAUCUUCAAAAUCGAAAGACACUUUGAUGGAUGGAUCUAUUGCUCGACAUAAAGCUCGUUUGGUAGCUAAGGGGUUUAGUCAAGAACCUGGUUUGAAUUAUGGUGAGACUUUUAGCCCUAUGGGAUCUUAGACAAUUGGAUGUUAAAAAUGCAUUCUUACACUUUGAUGGAUGGAUCUAUUGCUCGACAUAAAGCUCGUUUGGUAGCUAAGGGGUUUAGUCAAGAACUUGGUUUGGAUUAUGGUGAGACUUUUAGCCCUAUGGUUAAACCUACUACUGUGAGGUUAGUACUUGCUCUUACUGCAAAUUUUGGUUGGGAUCUUAGAUAAUUGGAUGUUAAAAAUGCAUUCUUACAUGAAGUUUUGGAAGAAGAAGUUUAUAUGACUCAACCACCUGGUUUUCAGGAUCCCAUUAAUUCUCAUUUGCCUAAGUUGGGAUUUGUCAAUACAUAUGCAGAUUCUUCUAUGUUUGUCAAAUAUGUUGAAAAUACAAUUGUGAUCCUUCUGCUUUACGUGGAUGAUAUAAUCAUCACUAGGACUGCUACAACUUCAAUUUCACAUUUUAUCAGUGCUCUUACUACUGAGUUCGAUAUCAAAGAUAUGGGGCCCUUACAUUUUUUCUUGGGCAUUCAGAUUUCCAAGACUACCAGUGGAUUGUUUCUGUCCCAAACUAAAUACAUUCAUGAUUUGUUAGUGAAGACUGAAAUGCUUGAAGCAAAAGCCUGUGAGACAUCAUGCCUUCCAUAUAAUCGCCUUCUUAAACAUGAUGGUGAUCCUUAUGCUAAUCCUGGUGCUUAUAGGAGUAUUGUGGGAGCUUUACAGUAACUUACUUUCACUAGGCCUGACAUUGCAUUUUCAGUGCAUCAGGUAUGCCAAUUUAUGCAGAAACCUAUGGUAGCUCAUUAUACUACUGUAAAACGAAUUCUCAGGUACUUAAAAGGUACUAUGAAUGUGGGUGUUACCUAUACUCGAGGAGAUCUUCACCUCAAGGCCUUUAGUCAUGCAGAUUGGGCAGGAGAUCCUAAUGACAGAUGGUCCACUACGGGGUUGGUUGUGUUUUUAGGUUCAAAUCUCAUAUCUUAGUCCUCAAAGAAACAACAAACCGUGUCUAGAUCAUCUACUAAGCAGAAUAUAGAGCUCUUUCUUCCACUUCUGCAGAAUUAGAUUGGAUUAAGCAAUUGCUUGCAUUUCUGCAUAUUCCCGUGACUAUACCUCCAGUUCUUUUCUAUGAUAACUUGUCAGCUAUUGCCCUGUCAUUUAAUCAUGUGCAACACCAGAAGACUAUGCAUAUUGAAAUCGAUGUCCAUUUUGUUCGAGAACAAGUGGCCAAGAAACAGUUGACAGUGCAGUUUGUUUUGUCCCAAGAAUAAUUUGCUGAUAUAUUGACCAAAGGUUUAAGUGGUCCUUUGUUUAGAACUCAUUGUAUCAAUCUCAUGCUUAGUUCAUUAAAGCAUGAGCUUGUGGGGGGAUGUUAGAGUAUAUAUUCAAUGGUCCAUGAUUGUGACACUUGUCACAAUCUUGGUGUAUUGAUUAGUUAGUGACUAGUUUUGUAACUACCUAUAUAAGGCAAGGUUGUCGUAUUACUUAGUAAGAAAUAUACUUUACAGAAAAUUCUCUUCUCUCCGUCUCCUUCCUCUCUCUCUCUCUCUCUACUUUCUCUCUCUAGUUCUUGCAUACUAUAGAAAGAUUACAGAAAUAUAUACAGUUCAAUUCAUGAAGAUUAACAGUUAUUACAAUUAAUUUUGAGCAAAUCUAAUAGUGAUAGGUUUACCGAAUGAUGGUAGACAACAAAGUUUACGAUGAAGAUGUCUUGACUUGAAACCCAUGUAAUCAUUCUUUUUGAUAAAGCAAACCGGAACACAACAAAUUGAAAGAUUUCGAAAUAAUGGCUAGCAUUCUAAAAUCAUAGCUUCAGAAUUCUGCACUUUAGAACUAUUGAAUUAUAAGCAAUGAGCUGAUUAGAGUAUAGUGAAUUAGCCAUGUGUUUAAUUUUGUAUUCACUUAUGUUUAAGAUUACCAAGUGUAAGGCUCUAAUAUAUAAGGUCAUGAGUGCCAUGUGUAAUGAUCCUAGUUAUUAGCUAGAUGAGUGGCUAAGAUCAGCUUCUAUAGAAAGAGUGAUCGAACUAAGUUUUUCUAACGGUAUUAUUCUCUUUGCACGACUUGUGUGUGGGAGUGAGAGAAGCAAUCAAUGAGAAGAAUAUUUCCUCUGUGACUUGCAGAGAAAGAAGCAACCAUUUUCCUCUCUCUUGUGCAUUCAUCUCUCUUCAAUUCUUCUUCUUCCAAAAUAUCAAUUUACUGAGCUAAAUUCCAAUUUACACUAACAAGAACCACAACACUGGUUUUCCAGCAACUUGUUCAUAAAGCUAAAACUCAUCAAAAAGGACAAUUAAGCGUUGCAGUAUUUCGGUUGCUCCACAUUCUUAAAACACUUGCAGAAAUUGAAAAGCCGUGACAAGAAUGGAUAUAUUAAAUCGAAAUCCAUUGCACAGCUUUUGGGUGUAUACAGAGUCCAACUUAUGAACCUUGAAAAAAAGUCUAAAACUCUCCCAUAGAUUUGCCUAGGGUGCAUAGUUUUAUGGAAAGAAAUCAGUUUCGACAAAAGAAAAACUGGAAGAAAACAACCCAAUGUUAGAAAAAUGUUGAAGGAGAAUAAAACUUGCUGAACCUGGUUUCUUAAAACUAGACCCAACCAAUCAAGUUACGGGGUGUUAUACUGACUUCAUAUCGCUCUUGACUAUGAACAAGAGCUAGUGACAUCAAAGACCAGUUCAUUUAUGGAGAAGAGUCACGAGCUACCUGAUGGACAGGUAAUCACUAUCGGAGCUGAAAGAUUCUGCUGCCCUAAAGUCCUCUUCCAGCCAUCCAUGAUUGGAAUGGAAGCUGCCGG
RNAcentral lists this long non-coding RNA (74147 nucleotides) under Malus domestica (apple). RNAcentral describes it as "long non-coding RNA (MDOM_LNC013717)". The record is from RNAcentral. Lineage: Eukaryota; Viridiplantae; Streptophyta; Magnoliopsida; Rosales; Rosaceae.